UUUUUUUUUUCUUCGCGUUUGCUUUGCUGAGUCGGUUGGUGGGCCGGCCCGCGACGCGUCGCUAGGAGCACCCCACGUCCACGUGUGUCCUCUUGGCGGCGCCGAAAAGAACGCCGGAAUGGCGGCGCCGAAAAGAACGCCGGAAUGGCGGGCCGCCGCCGCAGCACGCGCCUCAGCUCCCAGAGCGACGCGGGCGAGGAGAGCAACGGAGUGGCCCGCCGACGCAGCCCGCGCCUCCAUCCUCAAACCCACGCGAGCGAGGACGGAGCCGGAACGACGAUCCCCCGCAGCCGAAGCCGCCGCGGCAACCUGCCGGAGGCGCCUGCGUCCCUGCCGGACAUCGACGAUGUUCUCUGGGAGAUCCUCCUCCAUCUCCCGCCGCAGCCGUGCUCCCUCCCGCGCGCGUCCGCCGUCUGCAAGCGGUGGCAGCGCGUCGCCACCGACCCCCAGUUCCUCCGCUGCUUUCACGCCCACCACCGCCUCCUCGGCGCCUUCGUGUGCAGCGACCACGAGGUCGUGUUCACCCCCAACCUGGACCCUCCCGUCCGCACCCGUCCGGAGCGCUUCUGCCUUGGACGCUACGGCCUCCGCGACCGCCGCUACGACAUCUAUUUCCUCGGGUACCGCCACGGCCGCGCCCUCCUCAAAGACAUGCUGCAGGAAGAGUUCGUUGUGUGCGACCUCGUCACCGGCGAGCGGCGCUGCGUGGCCCUUCCACCGAAGCUUUCCUUGAACAGAGGGUGCAUCAAUGGGGCGGUGCUCUGCGCUGCCGGCGACCAGGGUCACGUGCACGACGGUUGCCACUCGGGGCCAUUCGAUGGUGUCCACCGGCAGAGACGACGAUCGAUCACUCGCUUGUGUUUAGUCUUCGCAGUCCGGCACUUGGGGCGAUGUCAUCUCAACCAAGCCUUCAUGUGCAGCUUGCCAUGCUUGUUCUCGCAGUAGCCCUAGCACCCUUGUUGGCAACGUCGUUUACUGGGCGCUUUCGCCGAUCAACCACGGCAUACUUGAGUUUGAUCUGAAUAUGCAGAGCCUAACUUUGAUCGAGGCGCCUUGGUGCGCCCACGAUUCGCACACAUAUCAGAUCAUCCAGGGAGAGGACGGCAUUGUCGGUCUCGCCGCAUUUUCUUACUCUAGCUUCCAAAUGUGGCAAAGGGAGGUUGACUGCCAUGGUGUCACCACAUGGUUGUUGCACAAGACAGUUGACAUGCAUAACAUUCUUAGACUUCCUUCUCAGAUCGAGUUAGCGUGGAGAGAGAUGGUAAUACUGGGGUAUGAUGAGGUUAAUGGUGUAACUUUUCUGUAUGCGGACCGCAAUGCCUACAUGGUUGAAGUUAAGUCAAUGCAACCGAAGAAACUUACUGGAACCCAUUAUUAUCAAUAAGUUUCAUCCUUUCACGAGUUUCUAUAUACCAGGUGAUUGCUCAUCUUUAAGCAUUAUAUUGCUCAUCCAAUGCAUUGUUUCUCAAAUAGUACCUUUGUUCUUCUUCUUAAGCAUUAAUUCACUAAUAAUUUAAGCUUAGUUAGAAAUUGUCCCGAUGCUAGAUAGAUGAACUUAUAGCCGCAACGGAUGUCAAAUGAGUAAAAGUGCAAAAUCAAUUGUCAAAGGUGUAACUCAGUUGGCAUGUUUGGGGCCUUAAAGCUAGUAAUAUUAUGUUAUUCAGUACUUCCAUUCCUUUUUGUCAUGGAAAUUCAUAGGGGACAUAGCCACGAUUAUGAUAUAGCUUUUCUUUAUGUUGAUGAGCUGGUCAUGAGUUCUAACACUUCAAACCCUUAUGUUGCAUAGGUUCUGCUAAUUAUGUUCUGUUUGUAUUUUUGGUUACUGACAGAGUGAUGAUUUUGUUUUCUUUAGGUGGAGGACCGGCUGCUGCAGUUUUCACCGAGUUUGUCGCAUUGGAUCAAUGUGGUCUGAAAUACUUUUAUGUUGUCUGAAGGAACUUACUGAACAUCUGCCCUGCUCUACUCAAGUUCGAAAGUAACAAGAUGCUUCUGAAUCGUUAAUCCAGGAAAUUUCAGCUUCGCCAAUGUGGUCUGAAAUACUUUUUUUUUCACGUAUGUACUUAGCAGCUCCGGCUCUUAUCUUCAGUGGCUAACCAUCAUCAGACAUUAAAAAAGAAUCCUCGCAAAAAAAAGACAUUAAAAAAGAAGCAAGAACGGUACAUCGAUAAAGAAAAAGGGCAGAACAUUACUCAUUUCUCUGCAGAUCCUGUUAGAUAUGAACAAUUGAUCCUCUUCUGAGGAGUCGGACUACCUUUUAUUCUUCUUUUCAUUUACAGGACGACCAAUUUGGUCGGAAACACACACCCACAACCCAAUCCCUAUUAUGCAUCAAACUGCCACCCCUAUCUGCUUCUGUACAUUCUGGUAACUUGUCUGAAAUUACCGGCAUUGCGCCUUGAGCUAAGAACAGCAUGUUCACUCACAGUCCAGGGUUCUUCAUUCAACAAGUGCUUUAUCUCUCCAAUAAAAGAUGAUCAUCUACCUCUACAUUGGUGAAUGUUAGAGCCUUAUGAAACUUUCUUUGGCAUAAAACUUCAACCUCGGCCAUGUAGACAGCGGACACCGGGCGGUGAUCCGAAAGAUUAAGCUCCACCCUUCUGUAAGAAUCCAACCUGAUGCCCAUUCCAUAUGAAAGAAUCCGAUCACACCUACAGAAGUAUGCAACAUUUAUUUAUCCUGGGUUCUAAUGCCCAAACAUGAGCUAUGAUGGAUCUUAUCAGAUUAAAUGUGCGAAACAAAAAGGCAGGACCUUAAUUAGGCAGAUAGCAUACCAUGCAGGUCUUCUUCUUGCGGAUAUUGGCUCGUCACCCGCAUACUUAUCUGAAUUAAAUUCGUAUUUAUAUGUUGGGGGGAAGCUAAUCACCCCUUCGAUCCAACCGUCAAAUGUACGCCCUUUCGUCAGUUCCCAUUUUAGCUGUCACAGCAAAAGCGUGAGCUGGAAAUACUACAGGUAGUAAUUUAUGUACCGAACCAUUAAAUUACCUGAUCAUUGUCAAACAAUAAAUCCCAUUCCUGUCUGGAGAUAAGUUCAUGUGUUCUUUCAUAUGAUAGGUUGAUUCGGUAGUUGAGAUCCCCAAACCAUAUAAUCUUUCUGAAAUUUAUGAAAUGGCCGCAUAUGUAAGCAAUUGAGAAAAUGAUUGCAUUGGAGGAUAGCAAAGAUUCAGGCGACACAAAUUUGCCGACUUACUCAUGGUCAUGUAUUCCCUUAGGCAUGCUGACUCUAUGAACUGGGUUAAAUACCGUUCUUCGAAGGAUUUCUUCAACAUCUGCAUUUCUCUUUGUUAGAUUUCCAUCCUUUUCACCAGAUGUAAGGUGGCAACAUACAAAACAAAAGGGUGUCUGAUAUAUAGACAUGCUGGCUGAUAUUGAUCCCUGGAGCAUUGCAGAAACAAAUGUCAUCAGAUGAUUUUGUAAAUCAGAUAGUAUCCGACGAGUGUAUUCAUGCUGAAUCUAAUAAGAACUGAUAUGAGAUGACAAGGCAAGUCAAUGAAAUGAAAACUUCGGCAUGAAGUACAAAUGAAUGCAAAAUGAGUGAUGAGAGAAAAUAAGAUCAAGUUUGGCACUUGCCUUGUUACCAAUGUAACCCAUCGCGCCUACACCUACAGUUGAUACUCUCAAAUUCUGAAUGUGCCUCCUAAGGCCUCUCUGAACCCACACCGAAAGAUAUAUUCCGACCAUUUGCUUGCUUAUUAUCCGUACAAAAUUUGAAUUUUUCCUCUUAACGACUCUAUUAUCGGUACUAACAUCAUGGUCUAGAUUAUCUUCUGGAAAACCAUUAGAAUUCUCAUGUCUCAAUUUGAAAGACGCAGAAGCUGUUCGAGUCUUCACUGAAGUAACUGAUGUGCUGUCGUGAAUAAGAUGAACCUGCAUAUCCAAUUGUUGUUCAGGCCAAAUCAUUCCAGGCCUUUCCAAGUGACCAGCUUGGUUGUUUGGUUCUUUCAGAUUAGAUCUAAAAAGCGUAUGACUUGAGUUGUGGGAGUGAUGGGAAGUAUUUACUGGAAGCAUCUUGCUGAAGUCUUCGCCUUCGUGAACUCUUUCACUGGAAGCAGAGGUGGAGUAUUCAUAUGUUCUACAAACGCCACUAUCAUUAGUAACUGGAUUAAUGUCUUGUCCAAUCAAUGGAUGAAGUUCCCCCUCACUUUCAUUGUCGGCCUCACUAAGAAAAUCAUCUUCCAUCACAAGAUAAUCUGAUGGAUUGAACUUUGAUGGUGAAGGAGGAUCGCUGACACACUUGUGCUUUGGUUUAUAUGGACAUAUCUUAUUCAAAGUUUCACGAAUGAUAUGUUCCCAGACUGCAACUGGAUGGUCAUCUUCAGCACCGAAUAUAUUCCCAGCAUUUAGUGGGACAAUUUCUUGAAAUCUGAAAGAUGGUCAUAAAUUUCAUGGUAAAUAUAAACUAAGGGAAUGUUUGGUGCGGCUUGAACUGUGGCUUUAAUAAAAAGCAGGGCCAUGGGCCUUUCAUCCAAAAUAAUGGCAGUAGUGCACCACAACAAAUCACAUCUUAGCCAAAUAAUAAGCUAAGGUGUGACACGGAUGAAAAAACUGAUUAGAUACCAGCCGAUAACCAAAUAUUUUUCAGAUACUCCCUCCGUAACUUGAUAUAAGACGUUUUCUGACACUGUCAGACACUAUGACAGUAUCAAAAAACAUCUUAUAUUAAGUUACAGAGGAGUAUGUUUUAAGUGGAUGAUCCAGAAACAGCUUUUUAAGAUUUCCCAAGAUUGUAACUGCUAUGCCUAUGUCAGAUUGUGACAGCUUAUUUUGUGUGAAUCUGUGCCACAUAUCUUCUUCCAAAAUAAGAAUGAACAUUCGUGCAAUCGAAAGUUUGUUAGCAGUGAUUUACCCGAGAACAUAAAUAUCAGCUGGCUCCUCCAUCGCCAGCCAUUCUUGAAUGUCUAAGUCAGUAGGUGGAACUCUGCCUCCAACAUUCCAUGUCCCUACGAAAAUCCUGCAUGUAAAACCUCGAAGGUUGGAAGCAAUUUACCGAGGGAGUAGCAUUUAUUAGCCUAAUUGUAGCUAGGUUCAAUUAGUUAGUAUUAAAUCUUUUGAAAUGUUUUAUGUGACAGAAACCAGGCAUAUGAGCUUUUAUUUCAGUAACCACACAGGAUGUUACGAAGAUGCUGUCAAAAAGGCCAAAGAUAAGAGGGGAGCAAUAUAUAAGUCUAGCUAUAUACCUGAGUUCAGCGACAUCGAUAUACUGAGCACGAAGUGUCUCUGAAUUGCACCUCUUAGGUCUGUCAGGCACAGCCUUCACUUGAUUACCUACAAAUUACAGCUUGCAUCAGCAUAUAAAGCAAUUGUCAACCCAGGUCAAACAGAUGCUUGUGUCAACGAAUGGCUUACCAAACAGUCGUUUAUGUAACAAAACAGGCUUCAUAGCAAGUCGAAACGCAUAUUAAAAGGCAUCCAGGUGCUUCCAAAUUAUCACGCAUAUAUUUCUUUGAAAUAUUUGGCUUUAUGUAAAGCCAGACCGUUUGUACUUUACCAUAAAAAAAGUUGUUUUGAAAUAUUUAUAUUUAUUCACAGAAAGUGGAAAAGCACUAUCACAUUUUUUGAUAUUUUUAUCACCACUACGCAAUGCCUAUUUGCUGGCAUGGAUAUAACGUAGGACCCAAUUCCUCUUAUGGGGAAAAUAUAUAGAAGAAAAUUGAACUGCCAACAACUGUUUUGUCCAUAUAUUCUUCUCCAACAAAUGAGAUAACAAUUAAAUUACCAAUCGUGCCCGCACCAAGUCCACGCGAUCUCCUUUCCUCAUCAUACAGCUUGUGUUCCCAACAGCAGCACUUCUCUGCACAAAUGGAACGAACAUGGCAGUCAGAACACGUAUGAUGAUCGAUAUCAAUCUGCAGAUUUAAGCUGAAUAAACCUAUGCAUAUAAAGCGCUAUGGAUUUACAUGGCACAGUACAAAUUAACAGACAUUCUUUGCUCUUUUCCCCUUUCUGCAUCAAAGGGGCAGCCUCGAAAAGGCGGUGUUCAAAAGCGGCCAAACUUUUCGCUAACCCUUUUGGCUCAAGCAGGCUUUGAGACGAAACAAAAAAGGCAUCAGGAAUUUGGAAUCCUCAAACUCCUCGAACCAAACCUUUCUCCUGGUUAAAAAUGUCGAGUAUGGCAAUAUGCCAAACGAAAACGGUGGUCUGCAGAAAGUGGAUUAGCAGCCGGACAUCACAGUGGAGGUCGCCAUCGACCAGGUAGAUGACCCAUACGGCACUCGUGGCCAUUACCCAUACGAAACUGAACUGGUGGCGCUCAUGAUGCUGCAGCACGAUGAACUCAGACGAGAAAGCGACCAAUGAACAAUUGAGCUGGCAAUUAUCCAUUGUGAAGCUAUCUGCGUUGCGAAUUCGCAAUGUGGUUGUCUGCACUCCAAUCCCCACACAAGAAAUCCCCCCAUCUUGCUUCGAAGCAGAGCAGAUCGUGCGCAGGAAAUGGGGGAAGGGGUCACUGAAGAAGAGAAGAGAUGGGCGGACCUUGGUGGCCGGGCUCCUCGUCGUCGUCUGCCUCGGCCUCGGCCUCGUCGGCGCUGAAGUCGGAGUCGCCGGAGCCGGCGCCGACGUUGAGCCACUUGCGCAGCACCACCCUGCGCCACAGCCGCUCCGCGUCGCCGCAGCCCGCGCCGCAGCACAGCAGCGCCGCCUCCGCCCAGCUCCGCAUCACCCCCUUCGCAGCACAAACAAGAACCAUCAGCAAUCUAUCACAAGCUAGUUCCCAAGCUCAAAUCGCCAAGAACCAGUACCUGCUCCUGCCGACUCCCACCGUCGCUCCGAGCAGCCGCGUCGUCCCGGUCCCGGUCAUCUUGCCAAGGUCGGAGCAACGGAGCCGCCGGGGAGGAGGAGGAGGACGCCAUUGCCGUCCGCCGGUUCUCGUCGUGACUUGUCUGCGGGGUCAUCUGGGUUUUGAAGCGGGGCGCCCCGACGACAGCCGUAUCUGUGGCGGAAGAGUUCGUGGGGCAAUUGNNNNNNNNNNNNNNNNNNNNNNNNNNNNNNNNNNNNNNNNNNNNNNNNNNNNNNNNNNNNNNNNNNNNNNNNNNNNNNNNNNNNNNNNNNNNNNNNNNNNNNNNNNNNNNNNNNNNNNNNNNNNNNNNNNNNNNNAUGGUUAAGAUAGCGAGCCAGCGAGGAGUACCGGCGACCCGUUCGGCUCGUCGCCCGUCGUCUCUUUCUUAACAGCUUUGCCUUGCUCCUAACCGUAUCAUUAUCUCAUCUCUGUUUUUUUUUAAUAUUCUCUAUUUUUUAAGGGUAUCUUAAUAACAACAUCUUCAACUCGAAAAAAAAAUCAAACAACGACAUGUUUUUCUUUUCUUCUACGAGCUGGUUUCGAGUAUUUUCAGCAUUUUCCUUUUGCCGCCAUGUGCAUUUCAUUCUUUUUUUUUUAGAACAUGUGCAUUUCAUUCAGGAAGGCGUACUUUGUUGCUGUAUAUAUUCCUGAAAUAUUUGUCAUCAAAUAUAUCUUCAUUCCCACGUUUCGUGCGAAGCAGAACUGCGGCAUAAUUUAAAGAAAAACAGAGUACACGGAAGACCCACACGACAUUGACGGGAUGGUUGAUGUUGUCGUUUCCUUUCCCUUGCCUCGGUGGCUUUCAGAACCUGGUUUUAGUCGAGAUGUUUUGUAUGGUUGUCGUGGUUUCGUUUCUAUGAAAUGGAGCCUCCCGGGGGGCUCCCCUUUGAUCGAAAAAAAUGAUUCGACGGGAAAUGCAUUAGGCUCUGUUUGCAGUUGUUGAGCUGCAGCAUACUAUACUAAACUUAAUUUAUAAUAAUCUGUUAUGAAAAAACAGUCGUGAAACCAAUUAUCUAGUUAGCCAAAGAGAACAAUUGACAAAGAACUGAUUGGAAGAACUGGAUUGUCAUAAUCCACCUCAAUCAGCCUUAACUGACCUAACUGCCUAAGCACAUCAUUGUACAGCAGCGGUGUGCUGGAUUUGGCCCAAUCGUGUGAAUUAGUUGUAAUUUCCAAUGAGUUCCAGGGAAAAGAAACACAAAGAGGUCCUCAAUGAUUCGGCGACCGAGCAUCCCUCCAACAUGAUUGAACUCGAAGCAAAAUACUACUACUACAUGUACCCGGACUUCGGUAGAGGAUGAAAUCGUGCAGGAAGCGAGUGCGCAACGCAUGUUUAUUUUCCUAUUCAGGGGACGACUAACCCGGCCUCUUGGCAUGGUUGACUACUACAUACGGAUGUAUGUAGACAUAUUUUAGAGUGUAGAUUCACCAAUUUUGCUUCGUAUGUAGUCACUUGUUGAAAUGUCUAAAAAGACAAAUAUUUAGGAACGGAGGGAGUAUAUACUAUGCUGUUGCGCUGACUAUUAGCUUGCAUUCUCAUACAUGGAAAAAAUAGUGGUGGAAACAAUGCUUCAGCCAGUUAAUGAUCAUCUUCUUCUGUGCCUGCAGAUGGUGGGAGCCCAAUAACGAUAGCCGAUAAUGGCUAUAGUUAAGUUCGACCUUGAUAUGAUUGAUUAAUUACAACAGUCCAAGAUCUCGAUAAAAGCAGCCCUUGCCUAAUGCCAAUAAUCAAACUGCCCCUCCCGAUUACUUGCUCUGAUUAUCAUCAAUCACAGGUCUGAACCAUUCCUAGCCAAUAAGCAGCAAUUUGACAGAAAUUAUAAAGGGGAAUUAGGCAAGUGGCAACAGAGGUCGGCAAAGAGGCAUGGCCACACGCAACACAACGCAGGUCGCCGUGGCGAAUGGACAAGGUGAUGUUGGGCUGGAUCGGAUCACUUUGCAGAUACCACCAACGCUUAUCAGCUGGACUUUUCUUUUCUUCUCCAUAAAACGUGCAAGCAUGGAUCAGCCAACAACACUAUUUUUCUCUUCAUCAGCGAAGACUAUCAAAAGUGCGAAAAAGCCAGGCAACAUAAACCAUCUAAAUUGCUAGUGAAAACGAACAGCCGAGAAAUCGAGGGGCGUUGAUAAAGGGUUCGGGUUGAAUCCCCAGGAUAAGCGACAGCAAGUGCGAAAUUGGCUGCAAAGAUCUGAUGUAUCCCCCAUCAUCAUGCAACAAAACACAAGAUUCUUCUUGCCCACACAACAAAACAAAAACCGUUCGCUAUAUUAUUUCGCUGUCAGUCACAGGCCCCUUGCCUUCAAAGGAGAAGCAGAUAGCGCGCGCAUGUUAAAAGUAAACAGACUUAGAAUCAUCCACUUGUCAAGCCUCGUGAUGGACAGGCGGACGACUAGCCCGAUGGCGCGUCCACAGACGGAGAGGAGUCGGCGCUUUUCUGGGCUUCCAGAGCUGCAAGCCGCUUGUCGAGAGCCUUGUAACGGGCGUCCAAGUGGUCGUGCAGACCUUUCACCUGCAAAAGUUGUGAUUUAAAGAUCAGAUGCUUAUCUUCAACCCAACGAGAAUCAUGCAGGUGUAUAGUGGAAAUGCAGAGGGAGCAUGGUUAACAAACACCACAUGUAUAGAAACCUCAAUCUUAAAGCCCAGACAAUGAUUGCAUUUCUUAAAGCCAAUGACAUGUAAAAGGCAACUUUACUUAUGAAAAACAUUCACAGCUAAGCUUUACCUCGGGAAAAAAACAUCCUCAACUAAGGUUACAAAGCCCAUCCCACAUUUCAAACAAUUUCUUGGGAAAACUAUACAAACACGUGUCUUUAUCGCAUCUACCUGGACAAAUUUGAGCCUUUCAUCUAUGAAAUUCUACCUAUUUACAUGAACUACUGAACAAUCCCACCAGUGCAUACCGAAUGACCAUGGUAAAUCAAAUAUGGUGAAUUAUCCUAGUGUUCUUCUCAUAUUUCAUUGUCAGGAUAUCUAGUGUUCCAUCAUUCUGAUGAAGUCACCACAAUUUCAUACCGGAAGGUAGGCAAAACCACCAACAUUCUUGUUGAUGAGAGGAACAGACCAGCUUCAAGAGUUGUGAUAUAUCAUAUAUGUAAUGUUCAAAAUAAUAAUAUAUGGUCUAUACUUGAGUUUACUCUGAAAAAAAAACAUCUAUGUUUGUGCAAAUAUAUGUUGGAACUUGCAAGAUUGGUUGAGUCUAUGAAACUGAAACGCUCCUGAGAUAUGCUGCAUCAACGAAUGCCAAACCACAACAGAGGAUCGAGUAAAAUUCAACAAUAAUAAAUGCCAUGCUGUUAACACUAGAUGCAUUUCCAAAUUCAUGUUCGCGUCCAUUCUACAUUGUCAAGACAUGAUCGUCUUGUAAUGUGCUAAGGGACUGCAGAAAACAAUGUUUUCACUUACCAAUCAAAUAGGCAUUUCAGUGUGUGGUAUGAGAUAAUUAUAGAACAGUACAUAUCCAUCAAUCCACCAUCCAGAGGUCAAGUUGCAGCAAACUAGUCACAUGCAUUUAGACAAGACAACACAUGACUAGAGAACUUCAGAAGUACACCAAAAGAUAUUGACUCUCUCCUAGGCAGUCCCAUGUCCAAUUGCUUGCCUGAAACUAUGAACAAAGUAUGACGACCAUGCGUCGACGUAACAUUAUACCUCGGAUCCUAUUCAAAUCAUUGUACCCCUCCUUUUUUUUUUAGCAACCAGACAGCAGGAGAGGCUCCUACGGUCAAUAAAUUUAACUAUACUAGUUACAAAUAUUUACAUGGUCACUUUGGACCCAAAGUCUCACCAGAACAAAGGUUUAAACAGAGAUAGAAGUGAUAACUUAGUCUAAAAGUUCAGCAAGGCUAGGGGAUAACUUAAACUACGAUUUACCCCUGAGAUCAGAGCAAGCUACAAACCACUGAACUGCCAAACAGACCAUUAGCUUGGUAAGCCAAAGACACUACAUCACACGAAGUGGAACUGGAACUGUCAGCCAUAGAGGUCCAAACUCAAAACGACAUUUCUGGUUACCCGAGCACGGCUUGCAGAAACUAGGCAUGGUGAUUUGUAGGCAGACAGACAGAGCACAAGUUGUAAUAAUCGAAUGAAAUGUGGCACUACAGGCAUCCCCAAGUAUAUAAUCAGCAAACGACAUGGAUAUCUAUCACUGGAUACGUUCUCCUGGUGCCUAUCCAAGUCCGAUGCUGGGGGGAAUUUUCAGGGCAGACCAAUGAUGCCAACAGCAACAUGAAUACAUGAUCUACAAACAAGUGGUUUCCUCGACCCGCGUCAGGAAAUCAAAUCAGCACUGCGAUCCAUCCUUCACAGACGNNNNNNNNNNNNNNNNNNNNNNNNNNNNNNNNNNNNNNNNNNNNNNNNNNNNNNNNNNNNNNNNNNNNNNNNNNNNNNNNNNNNNNNNNNNNNNNNNNNNNNNNNNNNNNNNNNNNNNNNNNNNNNNNNNNNNNNNNNNNNNNNNNNNNNNNNNNNNNNNNNNNNNNNNNNNNNNNNNNNNNNNNNNNNNNNNNNNNNNNNNNNNNNNNNNNNNNNNNNNNNNNNNNNNNNNNNNNNNNNNNNNNNNNNNNNNNNNNNNNNNNNNNNNNNNNNNNNNNNNNNNNNNNNNNNNNNNNNNNNNNNNNNNNNNNNNNNNNNNNNNNNNNNNNNNNNNNNNNNNNNNNNNNNNNNNNNNNNNNNNNNNNNNNNNNNNNNNNNNNNNNNNNNNNNNNNNNNNNNNNNNNNNNNNNNNNNNNNNNNNNNNNNNNNNNNNNNNNNNNNNNNNNNNNNNNNNNNNNNNNNNNNNNNNNNNNNNNNNNNNNNNNNNNNNNNNNNNNNNNNNNNNNNNNNNNNNNNNNNNNNNNNNNNNNNNNNNNNNNNNNNNNNNNNNNNNNNNNNNNNNNNNNNNNNNNNNNNNNNNNNNNNNNNNNNNNNNNNNNNNNNNNNNNNNNNNNNNNNNNNNNNNNNNNCGAAGAGGCGAAGAGAAAUUUCCAAAAAAUUAUCCCGCGAGGAGAUAGCGCUGGAGCAUCACAGCCGCUGACCGCCACGCCGCUCGCUCGCUCGCUCCCCGCGAGCUCGCCUCGCCUCGCCAUGCCGCCGCCCUCGCUCCUCUCCCUCCUCCCCGCCGCGUCGGUCUCCGCGCGGACCCGCCGAGCCAAGCGCAGAGCCCCUGCCGCGAGCCUCCGCAUCCCCGUCCUCCUCAGCGCGCGAGCUCCCACGCCGCUCCGCUCCCUACCCGCCUCCUCCGAUGUGGUCGAGGGCGGGGGUGGAGGGGGAGGAGGCGAGGAGCUCCACCUGCUCGACAAGCCGUUCCCGUCCCCCUCCGCGCCGGAGGAGGACGAGCCCGAGCCGGAGGCCGCCCCGGCGCCGUCCACGGCCGAGGCGCUCGCGCCCUACCUCAACUUCUUCCAGGUGAAGGGCGCCGACGCCUCCGCCGCCGGGAAGCACGCCUCGGAGGACGGGGCCGUGUCGGCCGGGCGCGGGGUCAUCUACUACGACCCCAAGCCCGGGGACCUGGUCGUGGGCGUCGUCGUCGGGGGCGACGCGCGGGCAAUCGACGUCGACGUCGGCGCCGGAGGCGAGCCGGCGCUGAUGCUGACCAAGGAGGCGGCGCCUGCGUCCUCGGAGGAGUUCGCUUACCUGGCGUGCGACGUCGCGUCGGGCGGCGCGAGGGAGUUCGCCGCGGAAGGCAGGGUCGGCGUCGCGGCCGGCGGAGUGGGCGCGAGGGUUGGGAGGACCGGGAAGGAGAAAUGUGCGCCGGUGGUGGGCGUUGGCACGGUGGUGUUCGCCGAGGUCCUCGGCCGAACACUUGGUGGGCGGCCGCUGCUGUCUUCGCGAAGGCUGUUCCGGCGCGUCGCGUGGCACAGAGUGAGGCAGGUCCUCUAUGACUCUCCUCUCUAUUGUUGUUCUUGGAAUUUGAUGAACUGGUCUAGUAUUAGCCAUGAUUUGAUCGUUCAAUGUAUGUUUUGAUGUGCACUGUCAGUAGUUCAGUACCAGAUACAGAUAUAGUUUGUUUGAACAUAAUGCAGUACAGAUACUUCAAACACCACUACUAAUGUAGUGUGUAUUAUUAGUAUCAGGAAUAGAUCUGCAACCCCCGAGUCAUGGCCGCCGUCUUGCUUGUACCAAGUAGAUUUUUCAUAUACUGGCCGGCCUAUCUAAAACCUCGAGCUAUUAAAGCAGUGUGAUAUAUAUCUUGCUUGUGGGUUAAUAGGCAAUUAUGUACAAUCACAGCUUGCUCCUGGGUUAAUACACAAUUUUGUCUUCAAGGUUCUUAGCAUGGCAUGAGUCAAAAUCAUUUGCAGCCCAAAAUAGAGCAUCUCAUGUUUUUGUUAAGAACAUAGAGUGAUUUCAUGCUCAAGUACAUGAAGAAAUGGUUGGUAUUACAUCAUAUGAUCAUGAGACCUUGUAAUCUUCCAACUAAUAACAACGUACAUGCAUCCGUCAUUCAGCCUAUUGUAUCGUAAAAUUGAUGUUUCACAUCUUGGAUGCAGAGUAGUGCAAUGGAAAAAUUUGUAGGAUGGAAAACCCUUGUUUUGGUCAUAUUUUCUCGAUGACAAUGGAUGAUUGGACAUGACUGUGACCUAUGAAGUUCUGAGUUCAAUAGCUAUUAUUUUUAUUCUGAAUAUUUUAUAUAUGACAAUUUCUGUACAUACUGAUGUCCAGAUAAAGCAGCUAAAUGUACCUAUCAAGGUUAAAAUUUCUGAGUGGAAUGCUGGAGGCUUGUUGUCAAGAAUUGAGGUACGAGUUACUCAUAACUUCAAUGGAUUACAUUACAGUCCACUUUUCAAAAUUUGUAGCUAAAACUCACAUCCAUUAUUCCAUCAUUUAGGGGCUCCGGGCCUUCCUACCUAAGCCUCAGAUGAUGACUAGACCAAGAAAUUUUACAGAUCUAAAGAACAAUGUAAGACGCAUGAUCCCUUUUAUCUAAUUUUGUCAAGUUAUUGUCAAUAAAGUCGCUGUAACUUGUGAAUUAUAUUGUUUCUUCUGCACAGGUUGGUCGACAGAUACAUGUCUGUAUUACAAAGAUUGACGAAAGGACUAACGAAUUAAUAAUUAGUGAAAAGGAGGCUUGGGUAAGUUAACUGCAUGUUUAUAUGGGCCUCUGUUCAGUCUGUUGUCCUUACCUGCACCAUUCAUGUGUUUUUACUGUGGCUCUUCAUAGUAGAUCAUCUUGGUCCAUCAACUUAUUGAAUUGGCUAAAGACACAAACUUAUGCAAGAAAUGUUUAUUUAAAUAGCUUUUGCUGCAGUCUACAACUUGUGAUAAAUACACCUGAAGUAUCUAUAUCAAUUGAAUAGUACAGCACGUUGAUCAGAUUUUGACUUGUAUAAGAGAACAAUGAGCACCCUUGAGUUCUUCUGAAUAAUUUUGAUUUUCGGUACUUCUUUUAGGCAAUGUUAUACCUUAAAGAAGGGGCUCUCUUGGAAGGGACAGUCCGCAAGUUGUUCCCAUAUGGUGCACAAAUUAGGAUUGGGGAGACUAACAGAAGGUAAUAUCACUAAACUGAACUGAAACCACAACACUUAUUUUUGAACGGAGGGAGUACAUACUAAAUAUUGCAUUUCUUCUUUUCUGCCAAAGUUCAUUUUACACUUGAAAGUUGAAGGAGCAUACCUUCCAGUUCCAUCAUUUCAUUAGUAGCUGCUGAUAAGUUUCUUUUUGGCCAUAUUCUCUUAUAGUUGUGCAUAUGUUUUAGUAUGGCUUACUCCUAUUUUAUGACAAACAAAGAAUAUGUUUACCAAAUAAUUUAGAAGGUGGCUGUUACCACAAUAUUUUAAAAGCUUUGGCAACAUUGAUGAUGUUAAGUCUUGACUAGAUUAUACAAAUAUAAUUGUCAAUCUUGCUCCUUUUGACAUUCUUAACUGGAUUACCUGAACAAAAGAGUUAUUGUUAAUUUUAGUGAAACAUGAGAUUCACUGACUAGCCUUCACACUGAUGAGUUCCAUUGGAAAUUCUGAUAAUUCGCCAGAUAGUGAGUCUCUCUUCUUUUAUCAAUCUCCUGGCUUAGAUUAUGAGCGAUUGCCAUGUGCUCUAGCAAAGGGCUUGCCUUUGGAAUAUGUACUUUCAAGUAUUUACAUGCCAUGCUUCACUUCCAUUUAUAAUAGAUCAUAUAACUUCAAGCAUUUGGAGUAUGCAUCUUUCCUUUCAAAAGGUAUUCCCUCUGUUCCAAGAUGUUCUUACUUUUUUCUGAAUCGGAUGUAUAUCGAUGUGUUUUAGUGUGUUUGUUCACUCGUUUCAGUCCGUAUAUGUAGUCCAUAUUGAAAUAUCGAAAACAUCUUAUAAUUCGGAAUGUAGGUAGUGCGGAGUAUUAUAGACAUCACUCUGUUCACUUGGCAAGCUUGUGAACAAUGUAUAGGUGGGAACAUUUCAGAUGUUUAAUUUACAGCUUGUGAUGCUUCUGCAGUGGUUUGCUGCAUGACUCAAAGAUAACACACGGUCAGCUGAGAUCCGUCAGUGACGCGCUCAGCGUGGGCGAGAGAGUGAAAGCGCUUGUGAUCAAGUCGACGACGCCAGACAGAAUUGCUCUUAGGUAUGCCGAAAGAAAAACUCGCAAAAACUAAAAACCAUGUAUGUGCAGCACCGAGAGCUCACGUGUUUCGGCUGUGUGCAGUAUUAGGGACCUUGAGAGCGAGCCUGGACUGUUUCUCUCCAACAAAGAGGUAAGAGCACCGCCUCUUUGGCUCUUCAGUUUUACAUACUACUCCCUCCGUCCGAAAAUACUUGUCAUUGAAAUUGAUGUAUCUAGACGUAUUUUAGUUCUAGAUACAUCCAUUUUUCAUCCAUUUUGAUGACAAGUAUUUCCGGACGGAGGGAGUAUAUGUGUCAAGCUGCCAAUGGUGAAGGUAGUCACAUUUUUCAUUUCCUCUGGUUUCCGCAGAAGGUGUUCGCCGAGGCUGAAGAGAUGGCGCGAAGAUACCGGGAGCAAAUGCCGGCGACGCCUCGGUCUGGCGAGGGGCCCGACGGCGGCUACGACGAUACCGUCCCGUUCGAGGACGAAGCGGAGUCGUACGCCAACUGGAAGUGGCUGAAGUUCAUCAAGUCCGACAGAGCAGACUGUAACCCCAGUGUCACCGAAUCAUCGGGAUUGUAACGCAGGAAUACCGAUUGCUUCUGCACAAAUUUUGUUCAGUCCAGUGCUGGUCAGCCUCACGGUAUUGAUGAGUGCAUCGCAAGAUGAGCUCAAAGGUGUCGGUGAGCGGCACGCGGCACGCGGCGCCCCUGAAUCCCCGAUCGAUCGCAGGUCGCUGUUUGCCGUGCCUUGGUUGCUCUGACGCGCACUGCUCACCUUCUCGUCGCCGUGUGUUCCAAGCCUGGUCAUCGUCGUGUCUAUUGAUCACAACAGUGAGGGAGAACGUCGCACAGUGGCCGACUGACAACCUUGGAAUAACCUGCCGGUGCGUGCAACAACCCAAAGCCUAUAUAGCAGCCGACCCAUCGUGUCAACAGACGAUCGAUCUGUAAGAGACGAAAGCGAGAUCCUAACCCGAGGCUAAAAAAGUUUGUUCUUGUUGGGCCUAUCUAUUCUAUCAUCGCCGGCCACUGAGAUUCCUCAGGUGUCACGUCGCAGACACUUCGGUUCGGUUCAGUUCAGGCUUCUCAACAAAGCUCCAUCUGCGUACCUACUGAUUAGUUUAUGGGGGAAAUGCCAAGGGCGUGCUCCUCGUCCCUGAGAUGGUGACAUACACCACCGACCUUCAUUGAUCAUGCUAUAUGGACGAGUAUGAAAGUGGAUUAAGGUAGCAGCCGUGAGCGAGGAAAUUACUGUAGCAAGCGACCUCUAUAUUUUAGUGAUCCAAAAGCUCUUAUAUAUGUUUACAGAGGGAGCGUUAGUAGCGUCAGGAAACAUUAUGGGACGCAGGGAGUACAUCGCAAUCGUCCUCACUCUUGCGCCCUUGCGUACUCAUAAUCAGCUAGCUGUAGCCUAUAGCUCUGGACUGAUCUGUACGUGUUUCACCUUUCCUAGUGGUUAGCUAAUACUACUCUUAUACAGUACUCAUCGCCUGCAGCUAUGGAUCUCGAUUGACUUGUACGUAUUUCACCUUUCUUAGCGGUUUACUGAUACUGGUAGUAUACAGUACUCACCGAGAAAAAACUACUACUGCACAGUAUAUGAUGCACGUACGUACGUGCCCUAUUGGGAGAUUGAAGACGGGCACCGUUAAACUGUGGUGGCACGUACCGAUCGAGAAAAUUACCACGAUUAAUUGGGCGAUCAGGGUGGUACGCAUAUGUUAGGAAAUAAACCGUGAUGCGUGUGUGUCCACGGUCACCCCCCUCCUCGUGUAAAACAAGAAACCGGCCGGCCGGACUCCUCUUUUCCUUUCAACCUGGAUGAUGGGUUCUCCUUUUACUAGCAUUGACUCUCUUUUUCAGUUUUUCCACACGAGUGGUUGAUGCAUCUUGUUUUCUUUCUUGAUACGGAAGCAGGCAGUUCACCGAGGAGGCGGGUACUCCUGGUAAGGCAUUUCAUCGAUGCCUCCCUUCCCUUACUCACAGCUCAAUCUCCCUGGCUAUAUAGCAUGCGGUAGGUUCCAGUGCUGGAGUAUGCAUCGAUCGUACGUGCACACGUGGAAUUGAUUUCCACCACGUAACCACCGAAGCCGACCGCCGGAGGGUUAACUGAACCAGACCGGUCGGCCCUAUGGAUCGUCAAUAUAUAGCACUCCCUCCGUAAACUAAUAUAAAAACGUUUAGAAUAUUAUUAUAAUAUUCUAAACGUUUUUAUAUUAGUUUACGGAGGGAGUAUAUAUUAAUUCCGUUCGUGCGCCGCCAUGGACAACACGGUCACGGACACAGCCACGCGCCCGUGCGUACCCCCGCCGUGCUAGCUGGGGCCAUGCAUAUGCACGCGUCGCCGGCCGGGGCGCUCCGCCGAGCAGCACGCCGUCGCGUCGCUGCUCAUGUGCUCGCCAUACCGCUCGAAUAUCUACGUGACACCGACGUACCAUGGGGUGGCCCUGAGACCGUGUACACCAACCACUGAGCUCACGGUCAAGCGCCGUUACAUCAAAGGUCCAAAUCCGAGAGCCAUUUGGCCGGGCCCGUAACGUUGCCUGCCGGCGUGCCUCACCUCGCCGUAAAACGACUCGCGCGCGUCGAGGUGAUGGAGCGAGCUCAACGUCCCUUCCACCUGGCCGCCGACGAAAGAGCUGGCUGGCUAAUCAAUAUCGAUCCAUCAGUCACGCAUGGAUGCGCGCCUGGUAGCGUCGUGACGAUUAGAGGAUCCAAACGUGCCCUGACUAAUUAGCGUCCCGGUCGGCGUUGCACGCUAGCCCAGCCCCGCGAUCGAUCGAUCGAUCGGCCCGGCCGGAACGACGUACGUACGUUGUUCGCACGUGAUCUUCCUUUCCUCCAUCUCAACGGCUCCUGAUUCCUUCGCUGUCGCACUUGGAUUUGCCAAUCAUGAUCCUAAACUGGUUUGUUAAUCAAGUACGGGGUACCCACAUUAUUGCUUCCUCCGGCCACCUCACUUACUUCACACCUCCCUCUCGCUCCACAAGCUUGUAUUAGCGUUUCUUCUUUGUAUUUCAUCUCCAAAAACGUCAUAUGGCAGUAUAAAGAACAUCGGUAAUGAAGAACACACCCACAUCCUAGACAACAUAUCAACGGAUGCGAACACUGCAGCGAGCUGAAUGCGCGCCGCUGUUAUCGGCCCUCUCUCGUCAGAGCCGGACAAACCUUGUCGUAAACAAUCAGAGAAUCCCGCUAAGGCCCCAUAAGACCAGUGCACCAGAACAGCAACCGUCAUCGAUUUCAAGCAAACGUAAAUCACAAGGAUCUAACUUGUAAACACACGAACACAAACAAACGAAUAAGGAUCCAAGCAGAACCACCGGAAACUAGUACCGAUCGAAUCCCACGAGGCCCAUUGGAGACACAUUUCAACACGCUCUGUGACGAUGCUAGACGCACCGCUGAGGCCGGGACUAAGCGGGGAGAACACAACUCGACAUAUGCAACUGGGAUAGGGUGAACACAACUCGACAUGUGCUAAUGGUAGCAUUGAAGGUUGUUGGCCUUCUGGAGUUAAUCAUGCUCUGAAAGAGCAGCCGACCAAAAUGUUUGACCUUGUUAGGUAACCUAUUACCCAAUAUCAUUCCAUCAUCGUCUUCAUGUGGUGUGUAGGUGGCCUUAGUGUAGAAUGAUCAAGCCAUUGACGAGGAACCAGCCGUCAUUGUCAUUGUUGCAUUGAGAAAUCACACAACAAAGUUAUCGACACAAUCAACGAUGCAGAAGCAAACUGAAGUUAUGUGAUUUCAAAGGUUAAAUUCCAACCCAGUUUCACAUGAUUAAUGCAAAAGUUUGUGUUUUUCAGUUCAUUCAUUCCAAACAAAUGUUGGAUAUUUUGUGGCACCGUGACGAACCGGAGUUCAAAACCCUAUAACCUCCAACAAACACAUUCAUGAUAGUGUUCACAAGGAAUACAAAAUCCAGUCACGAAACCUCGUAUCAGCACACCUCGCUCGUACUGACAUGGUGCACACAUGAAAUGAUAUGCAUUCUUUCUCUGAUAUAUAAAAAUAGAAACCAAAACACAUCAGGAUUUUGCCAUCAUGGCCAUGGAGGGUCCAUGGUUGAUUCUCCGCGAGAAAACAAAGAAAAGGAUUCCCCGGGGCUUCUAAACCGUCGUCCUUAAUCCACAAUCAUGAUAUCCAUUUAAGGCGUUAAUCACCGCACAUGCCGCGGGGCCCCACCACCCGACGCCCGCGUAAUCGAUCCCCCUUUGUCCCUACUUCGCCCACCCAAAUUCUACGCUUAAGCAUUUUGACUUAUGCAAAAAAAAAGUCGAACCCCAAAUGUUACCUCCAAUGUUAAACUUAAUUUUGUUUCUUUUUCACCAACGAAGCACAACUAUCCCGCUUUGCAUGAAUUUUUUCAAGCGUGCUUGUUAUACUAACAAUAACAUCUAAAAAAUAGAAUUUUAAAAUCUAAGUAUUUGUUUUGAAUUUACUGUUCAUCUGGGAGCAUUUGCACCCCAGAGCCAAAACGGCCAACCCGUUUUUCAGUUCGCUCAUUCUUUUUUUGAACGAAAGGGGUUGCCCCCUUGCCCCAACUUUUUAUUAAAAAAGCAAAGGCAACCAAAGAUCAGAGUUCACAGCUCUCGGCUCCAGCCAGAAGUAGCCACAGCAGAAUUAUUAUAGACGCAAGCAUCAACAGUCUGAAAAUCCACCAGAAAGCGACGAAAUGGCCCCUAUAGGAACUACCAGUGCAGAGGCUACGAACUCCCUACAGACGCAUCAAACGUGCCAUGCAAUUCUAAGCAACUCCCCGCGAUGAUGGUCGAGCAGCUUCAAGCAUUGGAGGAGUAGCACAGCUUGGGAGUCCACGCACAGGAUCUUCCAUUGAUAGAUAUGUCUCCCCACCAUCUCCAGCACACAUUUGAUGUUUCGCCAUCUUCGCCCCUGGAACACAAUUUCAUUUCGAAACAACCAUAAGCUCCAUAAGGUAGCAGCAGAAAUCAAGUUUACAUCAUCAAAACUUUUUUUCUUCCAAAAAGGAAGCAAAGAUUCAAACGAGUCAGGUACAGGCAUCUUGGUACAAUUAGCUAUCACCGGCCACACUUGUCUGGCCACCACACACUCAAAAAACAAAUGUUGGAUGCUCUCAGGUUCAUAGCGGAAGACACAAGUCAGGUCUUCCACAUGCCGGCGUUUAGCCAGAUUAUCCCUAGUCAAACUCUUAUUGUGCACAAUUAGCCAUAGAAACACAUGGAUAUUAGGGGGAAUUUUAAUUUUCCAAAUAUAAUCCCUCCAGAUAGAGACCAUGCCCCCCAAUUAAUCAUCUUAUACAUAGAUUUAAUAGAGUAUAACCCUUUACUUUCCAAGGACCAAAUAGUCUUAUCAGCCAUGUUGUUAAAAGGAACAUUUUUAAUCACAUUAAGUAGUUCAUUCCAGGAGCACAAGACAUCCUCAUUAACACACCUUCCAAAGGUCAGCUGUAAAUUCUCCCCAUCCCACACCUCGGCAACAGAGGCCUCUUGUUGUUGACAGAUCACAAAAAGAUCCCAAAAUCUAGUUUUGAGUGAACAAUCACCCAACCAGGUAUCAUGCCAGAAAGAGAUUUUUCUCCCAUUCCCAGGGAUCCACCUAUAAAAGGUUUUGGCAGCAGAGCAAGCCCAGGUGAAACUCUUCCAGAAGGGAGAGCCUACUCCAGCCUUAGCCCAUAGUAUAUUUGGUCUAUUCACAUUAUACUUGUAUUCUAGCAAUUUCUUCCAGUCACUAUCCCUAUCAUCAAAAAACGUUUACUCCAAGCAGCAAGCAAGGACAUGUUGAAUUCCCUGAGAUUAGGAACCCCCAAACCACCCCAUUCUUUCCUUUGAGAGACCAGCCCCCACUUGGCUAGAUGGUACUUAUGAUUGUCUCCAACAUUAUCCCAGAAAAAAUGAGCCAUUUGAGAAGUGAUAGCAUCAAUAGCCCACUUAGGAAAUUUCAUAAUGGACAUUAAGUAUGUAGGAAUACUAGCAAUACAAAUAGUAAGUAAAAUCAAUUUACCCCUAUAAGACAGAUGUCUGCCCAGCCACCCAGAUAUUUUCCUGAUAAUUCUAUCAAUAGUGGGUUGUAUAUCUUCUCUUCUAAGUUUCUUGAAGUGAAGAGGAACCCCAAGAUAUUUAAAGGGGAAAUCCCCAAUUUGGCAACAGAAAAUUUGGGCAAAUUCCUUAGCAGUCUCCUUGAGGGAGUCCUGGAUUAGGGGGUGUUCGGAUAGCCGGACUAUACCUUCAGCCGGACUACUUGACUAUGAAGAUACAAGAUUGAAUACUUCGUCCCGCGUCCGGGAGGGACUUUCCUUGGCGUGGAAGGCAAGCUUGGCGAUACGGAUAUGCAGAUCUCCUACCAUUGUAACCGACUCUAUGUAACCCUAACCCUACCCAGUGUCUAUAUAAACCGGAGGGUUUUAGUCCGUAGGACAACAUACACAUCAACAAUCAUACCAUAGGCUAGCUUCUAGGGUUUAGCCUCCUCGAUCUCGUGGUAGAUCCACUCUUAUACUACCCAUAUCAUCACUAUUAAUCAAGCAGGACGUAGGGUUUUACCUCCAUCGAGAGGGCCCGAACCUGGGUAAAACUUCGUGUCCCUUGUCUCCUGUUACCAUCCGGCCUAGACGCACAGUUUGGGACCCCCUACCCGAGAUCCGCCGGUUUUGACACCGACAUUGGUGCUUUCAUUGAGAGUUCCUCUGUGUCGUCGCCAUCAGGAAGGAUGCCUCGUCCCGUCUUUAAAGACGGCACCGCUGCUAAGGGAGCUUUGGCUGUCGGCCAAACCCUCCGGUUAGGUGGCUUUCUUAUAACCGCCUGUUCGGCUUCUGCGCCGAUGAUGACCUCUCGAGCCAUCGAAAACAAUCUUCAUGUCAACUCGGAACUCGCCGAGCAGUUAGAUCCAAUAGAGCUUUCCUCCAUAAACGAGCUCUUGGAUCGCUUCGCCGCCCUGGGAGUCGCUACGGAUUACGACCAAAUUGGGCCUAAAACCGAUCUGAGAGAGAUCAACUCUCCCCAAGUCACCCAUCACGUUGCCGUGGUAGAGGGACAGUGCGGCGACCCUUCAUCAAUCUUAAGGACUCGCUACGUCCGUAUUCCCGAUCCCUCCAAGCCGGAUACCCGCGGAGGGGAGGAUAUCACUCAAGACCUGAAGUUAGAGUCAGGCGACGGGCUGGAUUCAUUAGACAACAUCCAGGAAUCCAAAUUUUCGAGUUCAGAAAUUCCUCGGCCUCUGAGCCUUAGAUGGGGUGAGGCUUCGGAUUUAAUUCCACCCACCCACCCCAACAUAAGCGAUCUAUCCAAAAUCAGGCAAGAACCCGACGAAAUAGUACAUCAUUACUGGGCCAGAUUCCUCCUGGUUAAGAACAAGCUAAGGGACUGCCGCGAGGAAGAUGCAAUCUCAAUCUUCUGCAAUAAUUGCACGGACAAGGGAAUACUCAAUGCCAUAAGUCGCGGUGAUAUUACACGCUUCGCUGACUUGGCGUCCAUUGUACGAAAGUACUGUGCGAUGGAAAGCGCCUGGAAAACCGAAAUAAAAUUUUGGGACAAUCCGGCCCUGAAUACAAACCCAGUCCGAAAUAAAAGGAUGCAUCAUCACCAGUCACCCGGAUCAAGCACUAAAAAGCAAAAACCCUCUACAGGGCAUGGAACUGUACUGGAAGGGUGGCCUAAUGGACCCUGUAAAAUUCACAGUACAGAGGACGCCACACCAACUCACAGCCUCAGAGCAUGUUGAAAACUCCGGCAGGUGGCCAAAAUUGGCGAAAAUCUCCUAAUUCCGGAGGCCACAGAAAGCCACCCCAGAGACACCAAUAUGGUAUUAACAGUCUUCGAGACUUUUGCAUCAAAUAAUAUGCGAAAAAGGACACUCCACAGCCUCGCCAAAGUCUACCAAGUAGCAACAAUAAACCCAUGGAGCGACACGGCUAUUACCUUUAACGCCAGUGAUGAACCUAAAUUCCGAACAACCCGAGCACCAGCCGCAUUGGUCCUCAGUCCAAUAGUGGACGGAUUUCGUCUUACAAAGGUACUCAUGGACGACGGCAGCGGAUUGAACCUCAUUUACGAGGAGACUCUUCAAAAAAUGGAAAUAGACUGGAACCGCAUUGAGCGAAGCAGCACAACCUUUAGAGGAAUAAUCCCUAGUCGGGAAGCGCGCUGUACAGGAAAAAUCACACUAGAUGUGGUGUUCGGCACGCCGGAUAAUUACAGGUCCGAAGAGGUCACGUUCCAGGUGGCUCCGUUCAGCAGCGGUUAUCACGCUCUGCUAGGGUGGGAGGCAUUUACAAUCUUCCAAGCAAUACCCCAUUACGGGUACAUGAAGCUCAAGAUGCCCGGGCCUAACGGGAUCAUCACUCUCGAUAGUGAUCCGGACAUAGCACUCCGCGCCGAAAACAAGACAGCCGCACUGGCCCUCGAGGCACUAUCCGAAGCCCUAGCAGCUGAGGAGCUGACUGCGCUGCGCUCUAUGGUGAAUAGGGACGACGUGGUACUCGACAAAAGAUCCAAGUCGACCUCCUUUAAACCGGCGGAUGAAAUAGUCAAAUUCCAAGUCCAUCCAACGGACCCCAAUAAAACAGUUUCCAUCGGGGCACAGUUAAACCCUGAUGUCGACGCCGCAUUGCGAGAGUUCCUACGAGAGAACUGGGACAUUUUCGCCUGGCACCCUUCAGACAUGCCAGGAAUCCCACGCAGGCUGGCCGAGCACAGCUUAAAUAUCCAAACAAGAUUCAAACCUGUCAAACAAGCUCUUUGGCGUUUUUCCGAACCUAAGAGACAGGCCAUGGGAGAGGAGCUAGCAAAGCUAUUAGAGGCCGGAUUCAUCAGACAUAAAACAUCUGGACUGGCUAGCAAACCUGGUGAUGGUACCAAAGAAGGACAACUCCUGGCGCCUGUGUGUCGAUUUCAAAGACCUUAACAAGGCUUGCCCAAAGGAUCCCUCCCCCCCUCCCCCCCCGCAUCGACCAAAUUAUCGACGCUACUGAAGGAAAUAUGCCCUAGAGGCAAUAAUAAAGCUAUUAUUUAUUUCCUUAUAUCAUGAUAAAUGUUUAUUAUUCAUGCUAGAAUUGUAUUAACCGGAAACAUAAUACAUGUGUGAAUACAUAGACAAACAAAGUGUCACUAGUAUGCCUCUACUUGACUAGCUCGUUAAUCAAAGAUGGUUAUGUUUCCUAACCAUAGACAUGUGUUGUCAUUUGAUUAAAGGGAUCACAUCAUUAGGAGAAUGAUGCGAUUGACAUGACCCAUUCCAUUAGCUUAGCACCCGAUGGUUUAGUAUGUUGCUAUUGCUUUCUUCAUGACUUAUACAUGUUCCUAUGACUAUGAGAUUAUGCAACUCCCGUUUGCAAGAGGAACACUUUGUGUGCUACCAAACGUCACAACGUAACUGGGUGAUUAUAAAGGAGCUCUACAGGUGUCUCCAAAGGUACAUGUUGGGUUGGCGUAUUUCGAGAUUAGGAUUUGUCACUCCGAUUGUCGGAGAGGUAUCUGUGGGCCCUCUCGGUAAUGCACAUCACUUAAGCCUUGCAAGCAUUGCAACUAAUGAGUUAGUUGCGAGAUGAUGUAUUAUGGAACGAGUAAAGAGACUUGCCGGUAACGAGAUUGAACUAGGUAUUGAGAUACCGACGAUCGAAUCUCGGGCAAGUAACAUACCGAUGACAAAGGGAACAACGUAUGUUGUUAUGCGGUAUGGCCGAUAAAGAUCUUCGUAGAAUAUGUGGGAGCCAAUAUGAGCAUCCAGGUUCCGCUAUUGGUUAUUGCCUGGAGACGUGUCUCGGUCAUGUCUACAUUGUUCUCGAACCCGUAGGGUCCGCACGCUUAAGGUUUCGAUGAUAGUUAUAUUAUGAGUUUAUUAGUUUUGAUGUACCGAAGUUAGUUCGGAGUCCCGGAUAUGAUCACGGACAUAACGAGGAGUCUCGAAAUGGUAGAGACAUAAAGAUUGAUAUAUUGGACGGCUAUAUUCGGACACCGGAAGUGUUCCGGGGAAGUUUCGGAUAAAACCGGAGUACCGGGGGGUUACCGGAACCCCCCGGGGGGUUAAUGGGCCUCAUGGGCCUAGAGUGGAGAAGAGGAGGGGCGGCCAGGGCAGGCCGCGCGCCCCCUCUCCCCCUAGUCUGAAUUGGACAAGGAGGGAGGGGUGGUGCCCCCCCCCCUUUCCUGCCUCUCCUCUCUCCCUUCCUUCCCCCUCUCCUACUUGGACAAGGAAAAGGAGGGAGUCCUACUCCCGGUAGGAGUAGGACUCCUCCCUGGCGCGCCUCAUCAUGGCCGGCCGCCCCUCCCCCUUGCUCCUUUAUAUACGGGGGCAAGGGGGCACCUCUAGACACAACAAUUGAUCCUUGAGAUCUCUUAGCCGUGUGCGGUGCCCCCCUCCACCAUAAUCCUCGAUAAUAUUGUAGCGGUGCUUAGGCGAAGCCCUACGACGGUAGAACAUCAAGAUCGUCACCACGCCAUCGUGCUGACGAAACUCUUCCCCGACACUUUGCUGGAUCGGAGUCCGGGGAUCGUCAUCGAGCUGAACGUGUGCUAGAACUCGGAGGUGUCGUAGUUUCGGUGCUUGAUCGGUCGGGUCGUGAAGACGUACGACUACAUCAACCGCGUUGUCAUAAUGCUUCCGCUUUCGGUCUACGAGGGUACGUAGACAACACUCUCCCCUCUCGUUACUAUGCAUCACCAUGAUCUUGCAUGUCCGUAGGAAUUUUUUUGAAAUUACUACGUUCCCCAACAGUGGUAUCAGAGCCAGGUUUUAUGCGUUGAUGUUAUGCACGAGUAGAACACAAGUGAGUUGUGGGCGAUAUAAGUCAUACUGCUUACCAGCAUGUCACACUUUGGUUCGGCGGUAUUGUUGGAUGAAGCGGCCCGGACCGACAUUGCGCGUACGCUUAUGCGAGACUGGUUCUACCGACGUGCUUUGCACACAGGUGGCUGGCGGGUGUCAGUUUCUCCAACUUUAGUUGAACCGAGUAUGGCUACGCCCGGUCCUUGCGAAGGUUAAAACAGCAUCAACUUGACAAACUAUCGUUGUGGUUUUGAUGCGUAGGUAAGAACGGUUCUUGUUCAGCCCGUAGCAGCCACGUAAAACUUGCAACUACAAAGUAGAGGAUGUCUAACUUGUUUUUGCAGGGCAUGUUGUGAUGUGGUAUGGUCAAGACGUGAUGAGAUAUAAGUUGUUGUAUGAGAUGAUCAUGUUUUGUUGAAGUUAUCGGCAACUGGCAAACGCCUUAUGGUUAUCUCUCUAUUGCAUAAGAUGCAAGCGCCAAAUAAAUGCUUUACUUUAUCGCUAUGUGAUAGCAAUAGUUGCAAGAGCAAUUGUUGGCGAGACGACUAUGUGACGACACAUUGAUAUAGAUCAAGAUGCACUGGUAGAAAAAGGGCCUAUAGUCCCGGUUCGUAAGGGCCUUUAGUCCCGGUUCCUGAACCGGGACUAAAGUGUCGGUACUAAUGCCCUGUACCUUUGGUCCCGGUUCAAUCCAGAACCGAGACUGAUGGGCCUCCACGUGGGCAGUGCGCAGAGCCCAGGCAGGAGACCCUUUGGUCCCGGUUGGUGGCACCAACCGGGACCAAUAGGCAUCCAUGCGUCAGCAUUUCUGUGGCUGGGGUUUUUGUUUUUUUUGAAAGGGGGGGUUGGGGGGUUUUGGGGGGUUAAUUUAGGUGUUUCAUAUAUUGUGUUAGCUAGCUAUAAUUAAUAGAGAGAAGUUUCCUCUCUUACGUCCGUGCUUGGUCGACGCUACGUACUAUACAUACGUAUAGAGAGGACUAGACACGCUAGUUAGCUAGUAAGCAAACGAAGGAAACAGAAGAUCGUCAUGAACAUAUAUGCAUACAGAGAGAAUUGAUAUCGACCACCUCUCCUUCUCCGAGAGAUUGGUCGAACAACAAGUUCUUGUAUAUCUAUCCGACACUACCGGCUACAUAUAUACAAUAAUUAUCUCUUACAAAUAUAAUCAUACGGACUCAUGGUCCACAUAGUAUUCUCCGUCUUCAGCGAUCACUUGGUCAAGAAAGAAUGCCGCCAAUUCCUCUUGAAUUGCUCGCAUGCGAGCUGGUGCUAGGAGUUCAUCCCGCUUCCGAAACAUCUAAUUUGAAGAAGGGGGUCAAUACAUAUAUAUAUGAAUGAAUGAAACUCAAUACAAAUGAUGGUAAUAAAAUAAAAUUGUUAAUGUUGUUAUUUACGUACUUCAUAUUGUUCGUUAGAGUACGCGCCCCGCUCACAGGUCGUGUGGCGGAUGGACUCGCAGACGUAGUAUCCACAGAAAUCAUUCCCUUUUUCCUGCCACAACCACUUUACAAGAAAUAGAGGUCAAUCAAACUGAUAAGCAAGAAUGCUAAAUGGUAUUGAUGAAACUAGCGCUUGAAUCACUAGGAGAUGCGCGGAACAUGCUACUAUAGUACUUACUUUCGGGUGUCUAAAUUCCAGCUCCUUCGGCAGUCCCAGAACUGUUCUGGUGAAUUUUCUCCAAACCCUGCCGGACAAAGAAAACAAUUACUUGAUAUCAGGAAAUGAACAAAGUUGCUGAUAUGGUGGAUAAUGAUCGAUUUAACUUACUUCUUGAGGAUUUCAGUCAUGUCCGCAUACUCCUGGGGAUCUUUUCGUUUAGAGUCCAAGACGGUUACUACUCCCUGCUCAAGCCUAAUCUCUAGGAGAAUAUGGUGGAAACUGCACACGCAUGCAUAACUCAUCAAUUACAUUACUAUAACCUGGACUAAUAUAUAAGGGAAACCGAAUAUACGCAAGACAGUAACACUCACUUGAAGUUGUAAGGAAAGAGUAUUAUAUCUUUGUUUUCAUUUUUUUUGAAUGAUCGUAGCAAGUUGGCCUCGGUAUCUCCGGGACGAUGUUGAACCUCAGUUGCAUCUAUGAGAUAUGUGUUAACGAACCCAAUAUCACCGAUUUGUCUUUUCUUCAAUUCGGCGAUCUUCAUUCUGCAUAAUAUAGUGAGGAUAAUUAUAAAUACAUGCAAUGAAAGAGAUGAGCUAUAUAGAGAGACUUAAUGACAGAAGUAGUAGUACUUACAGAUAGUAGCAGGUGAUCGUUGUUUUAUCGAGGGCCAAUUGAUUGAAAAACUGAUAGAACUCCUCAAAUGGAAUAGGCAACAGUUCAAUUCCAACGAGGUCAUGCUCCGGUUUAACUCUCGCAUACAAAGUACUCCUCCCCCCAGACUCUCUGCAGAUUUUCAAGUACCAAUCAUGUAAUCUUCGCAUCAUCGUUGUUAAAGAUUUUUCAUCUUUGACGAGAGGCUUCUCGUACUCGUAUCUGUGUAUCCGCACCUCCGUGGUAUCAUAAUAUACAUCGUCGGGCAGGUAAUCGUCAACAUUGCCAUAACCGGGCACCAUCCUUGGAUCGAUGAUGUCGCUAGGCACCUUGAGGGGGGGGGGCACGAUUGCUUCGCUUGUUCGCCGAGCUGGGCAAUUUGUUUCCCAGCUACUCGUCGUUCUUUCAGCCUUUGAUCACUGACUGUACUUCCCGACCGCUCCGCUUCGGCCCAUGUCUUUGCAAUAAUGCGCUCAUAGUUGCCUUUCGGCGGAGACUUGGGUGGUUUUGCCAGGGCAGCCAGAGUGCGCUUCACUUUCACCGGAUCUAACUUCUCCUCCGGAGGUGGAUGUCUCUUUGCUCUCAACCCUUGAAACCAAUCAUCCACUUCGGUUCGUGCGAUCUCGGCAUUCUCCUCCGGGGUCCUCUCAUAUGGUAACUUCUCUGGAGUCUUCGGAGAAGGACCGAAUCUGUAUGUCCUCCCGCCUCUGGCUGUACUGCUAGACGCCGACCGAGCAGACGGAGCGGUUGUCUUAUUUACUUGCUUACGAGGCGGAGGAGAAGGACUACGACGCACCGGAGCAGCUGGAGCGGCGGCGGGUCUCUUCGCCCUUGCUGACGAGGCGGAGAAGGAGGAGGCUGGCUGCUCGGGCGCGUCGGCGCAGGCGGAGAAGGAGGCGGAGUGCCGCCACGCGCCGGAGAAGGAGCCGGCCGAGGGCCCUGAUCGUCACUCACCGGAGGAGGAGGCAGUGGAGGAGGCGGAGUGCCCUGACUCGCCGGAGGAGGAGGAGGCGGAGGCGUCUAGUUCGGAAGGUUGAUGAGCUCCUUCCGCCAUAGGCAUGGAGUCUUCAGAGCAGACCCCAGCUGAGUCUUCCCUUCACCGGUAGGGUGGUCAAGCUGGAGGUCCUCAAAUCCCUCCGUUAUUUCAUCCACCAUCACCCUAGCAUAUCCUUCUGGAAUCGGCCGGCAGUGAAAAGUAACGCCGGGUUCAGUAGGAUAAACCAGAGCCAACAGCCGCCUUGACCUUCAAAUUCAUCCAUUGCGUCAUAAGGUGGAAAUUUUGAGACUCCGUGAUAGCAUCCACGGGAUAGCUAGCAGGAGCCAUCAAGGCAUGCUCCGGCUGAAGCAGCUCGGUGGAAGCCACGCUGCUUCUCCGCUGAGAUGGCGGGGUAGCUGUUGGGGAACGUUGCAGAAAACAAAAAAUUUCCUACGGUUUCACCAAGAUCCAUCUAGGAGUUCAUCUAGCAACGUGUGAUCGGAUUACAUCUACAUACCUUUGUAGAUCACGCGCGGAAGUGUUCAAAGAACGGGGAUGAGGAAGGCGUACUCGACGUGAUCCAAAUCACCAGAGAUCCUAGCGCCGAACGGACGGCACCUCCGCGUUCAACACACGUACGGUCAGCGUAACGUCUCCUUCUUCUUGAUCCAGCAAGAGAGAAGCAGAGGUUGAGGAAGAUGGCUCCAGCAGCAGCACGACGGCGUGGUGUUGAUGGAGCUGCAGUACUCCGGCAGGGCUUUGCCAAGCACUGUGGAGGAGGAGGAUGUGUUGGAGAGGGAGAGGGAGGCACCAAAGGCGUGGGGGUGAGAAGUCCUCCAUCUCCCCACUAUAUAUAGGAGGGCCAAGGGGGGGCGCCGGCCCUAGGAGAUCCAAUCUCCUAGGGGGGGUGCGGCCAAGGGGAGGAAUCCCUCCUCCCCAAGGCACCUAGGAGGUGCCUUCCCCCUUUGGGACUCUUCCCUUCUUGAACCCUAGGCGCAUGGGCCUCUUGGGGCUGGUGCCCUUGGCCCAUGUAGGACAAGGCGCACCCCCUACAGCCCAUGUGGCCCCCCGGGGCAGGUGGCCCCACCCGGUGGACCCCCGGGACCCUUCCGGUGGUCCCGUUACAAUACCGGUGACCCCGAAACUUGUCCCGAUGCCCGAAAUAGCACUUCCUAUAUAUAAUUCUUUACCUCCGGACCAUUCCGGAACUCCUCGUGACGUCCGGGAUCUCAUCCGGGACUCCGAACAACAUUCGGGUUACUGCAUAUACAUAUCCCUACAACCCUAGCGUCACCGAACCUUAAGUGUGUAGACCCUACGGGUUCGGGAGACAUGUAGACAUAACCGAGAUCGCUCUCCGGUCAAUAACCAACAGCAGGAUCUGGAUACCCAUGUUGGCUCCCACAUGCUCCUCGAUGAUCUCAUCGGAUGAACCAUGAUGUCGAGGAUUCAAUCAAUCUCGUAUACAAUUCCCUUUGUCAAUCGGUAUGCUACUUGCCCGAGAUUCGAUCGUCGGUAUCCCAAUACCUCGUUCAAUCUCCUUACCGGCAAGUCACUUUACUCAGUAUGAUCCUGUGACCAGACACUUGGUAACUUUGAGCUCAUUAUGAUGAUGCAUUACCGAGUGGGCCCAGUGAUACCUCUCCGUCAUACGGAGUGACAAAUCCCAGUCUCGAUCCGUGUCAACCCAACAGACACUUUCGGAGAUACCCGUAGUAUACCUUUAUAGUCACCCAGUUACGCUGUGACGUUUGGUACACCCAAAGCACUCCUACGGUAUCCGGGAGUUACACGAUCUCAUGGUCUAACGAAAGGAUACUUGACAUUGGAAAAACUCUAGCAAACGAACUAAACAAUCUUAUGCUAUGUUUAGGAUUGGGUCUUGUCCAUCACAUCAUUCUCCUAAUGAUGUGAUCUCGUUAUCAAUGACAUCCAAUGUCCAUAGUCAGGAAACCAUGACUAUCUGUUGAUCAACGAGCUAGUCAACUAGAGGCUUACUAGGGAAAUGUUGGUGUCUAUUAUUCACACAUGUAUUACGAUUUCCGGAUAAUACAAUUAUAGCAUGAAUAAAGACAAUUAUCAUGAACAAGGAAAUAUAAUAAUAAUGCUAUUAUUAUUGCCUCUAGGGCAUAUUUCCAACAGUCUCCCACUUGCACUAGAGUCAACAAUCUAGUUACAUUGUGAUGAAUCGAACACCCAUGGAAUUUUGGUGUUGAUCAUGUUUUGCUCUAGGGAGAGGUUUAGUCAACAGAUCUACUACAUUCAGGUCCAUAUGUACUUUACAAAUAUCUAUGUCUCCAUCUUGAACAUUUUCACGAAUGGAGUUGAAGCGACGCUUGAUGUGCCUUGUCUUCUUGUGAAACCUGGGCUCCUUGGCAAGUGCAAUAGCUCCAGUGUUGUCACAGAAGAGCUUGAUCGGCCCCGACGCAUUGGGUAUGACUCCUAGGUCGGUGAUGAACUCCUUCACCCAAAUUGCUUCAUGCGCUGCCUCCGAGGCUGCCAUGUACUCCGCUUCACAUGUAGAUCCCGCCAUGACGCUCUGCUUGCAACUGCACCAGCUUACUGCCCCACCAUUCAAAAUAUACACGUAUCCGGUUUGUGACUUUGAGUCAUCCAGAUCUUUGUCGAAGCUAGCGUCGACGUAACCCUUUACGACGAGCUCUUUGUCACCUCCAUAAACGAGAAACAUUUCCUUAGUCCUUUUCAGGUACUUCAGGAUAUUCUUGACCGCUGUCCAAUGUUCCUUGCCGAGAUUACUUUGGUACCUACGUGCCAAACUUACGGCAAGGUUUACAUCAGGUCUGGUACACAGCAUGGCAUACAUAAUAGAACCUAUGGCUGAGGCAUAGGGGAUGAAACUCAUCUCUUCUAUAUCUUCUGCCGUGGUCGGACAUUGAGCUGAGCUCAAUUUCACACCUUGCAACACAGGCAAGAACCCCUUCUUAGACUGAUCCAUAUUGAACUUCUUCAAUAUCUUAUCAAGGUAUGUGCUUUGUGAAAGACCUAUGAGGCAUCUUGAUCUAUCUCUAUAGAUCUUGAUGCCUAAUAUAUAAGCAGCUUCUCCAAGGUCCUUCAUUGAAAAACUUUUAUUCAAGUAGGCCUUAAUGAUGUCCAAGAGUUCUAUAUCAUUUCCCAUCAAAAGUAUGUCAUCUACAUAUAAUAUGAGAAAUGCUACAGAGCUCCCACUCACUUUCUUGUAAACACAGGCUUCUCCAUAAGUCUGCGUAAACCCAAACGCUUUGAUCAUCUCAUCAAAGCGAAUGUUCCAACUCCGAGAUGCUUGCACCAGCCCAUAAAUCGAGCGUUGGAGCUUGCACACCUUGUCAGCAUUCUUAGGAUCGACAAAACCUUCCGGCUGCAUCAUAUACAAUUCUUCCUUAAGGAAACCAUUAAGGAAUGCCGUUUUGACGUCCAUUUGCCAUAUUUCAUAAUCAUAGAAUGCAGCAAUUGCUAACAUGAUUCGGACGGACUUUAGCUUCGCUACCGGUGAGAAAGUCUCAUCGUAGUCAACCCCUUGAACUUGUCGAUAACCCUUAGCGACAAGCCGAGCUUUAUAGAUGGUCACAUUACCAUCCGCGUCUGUCUUCUUCUUAAAGAUCCAUUUAUUUUCUAUGGCUCGCCGCUCAACGGGCAAGUCAGUCAAAGUUCAUACUUCGUUUUCAUACAUGGAUCCUAUCUCGGAUUUCAUGGCUUCUAGCCAUUUGUCAGAAUCCGGGCCCGCCAUCGCUUCUUCAUAGUUUGAAGAUUCACCGUUGUCUAACAACAUGAUUUCCAAGACAACGUUGCCGUACCACUCUGGUGUGGAACGUGUCCUUGUGGACCUUCGAAUUUCAGUAGGAGCUUGAUCAUAAGUAUGUUGAUCAUCAUCAUUAACUUCCUCUCUUGUCGGUGCAGGCACCUCAGAAACAUUUUCUUGAGGUGCGCCAUUUUCCGGUUCAAGAGGUAAUACUUCAAGGUCUACUUUCCUCCCACUUACUUCUUUCGAGAGAAACUCUUUCUCUAGAAAGGACCCAUUCUUGGCAACAAAGAUCUUGCCUUCGGAUCUGAGGUAGAAGGUAUACCCAAUAGUUUGUUUAGGGUAUCCUAUGAAGACGCAUUUUUCCGAUUUGGGCUCGAGCUUUUCAGGUUGAAGUUUCUUGACAUAAGCAUCGCAUCCCCAAACUUUUAGAAACGAUAGCUUAGGUUUCUUCCCAAACCAUAAUUCAUAUGGUGUCGUCUCAACGGAUUUCGACGGAGCCCUAUUUAAAGUGAAUGUGGCAGUCUCUAAAGCAUAGCCCCAAAAAGAUAGCGGUAAAUCGGCAAGAGACAUCAUAGAUCGCACCAUAUCUAAUAGAGUGCGAUUACGACGUUCGGACACACCAUUACGCUGAGGUGUUCCAGGCGGCGUGAGUUGUGAAACUAUUCCACAUUUUCUUAAGUGUGUGCCAAACUCGUGACUCAAGUAUUCUCCUCCACGAUCUAAUCGCAGGAACUUGAUUUUCCUGUCACGUUGAUUCUCAACCUUACUCUGAAAUUCCUUGAACUUUUCAAAGGUCUCAGACUUGUGUUUCAUUAAGUAGACAUACCCACAUCUACUCAAGUCAUCAGUGAGGGUGAGAACAUAACGAUAUCCACCGCGAGCCUCAACGCUCAUUGGACCGCACACAUCAGUAUGUAUGAUUUCCAAUAAGUUGGUUGCUCGCUCCAUUGUUCCUGAGAACGGAGUCUUGGUCAUUUUACCCAUGAGGCAUGGUUCGCACGUGUCAAAUGAUUCGUAAUCAAGAGACUCUAAAAGUCCAUCUGCAUGGAGCUUCUUCAUGCGUUUGACACCUAUGUGACCAAGGCGGCAGUGCCACAAGUAUGUGGGACUAUCAUUAUCAAUCUUACAUCUUUUGGUAUUCACACUAUGAAUAUGUGUAGCAUUACGCUCGAGAUUCAUUAAGAAUAAACCAUUCACCAUCGGAGCAUGACCAUAAAACAUAUCUCUCAUAUAAAUAGAACAACCAUUAUUCUCGGAUUUAAAUGAGUAGCCAUCUCGUAUUAAACGAGAUCCUGAUACAAUGUUCAUGCUCAAACUUGGCACUAAAUAACAAUUAUUGAGGUUCAAAACUAAUCCCGUAGGUAAAUGUAGAGGUAGCGUGCCGACGGCGAUCACAUCGACCUUGGAACCAUUCCCAACGCGCAUCGUCACCUCGUCCUUCGCCAGUCUCCGCUUAUUCCGCAGCUCCUGCUUUGAGUUACAAAUGUGAGCAACUGCACCGGUAUCAAAUACCCAGGAGCUACUACGAGUACUGGUAAGGUACACAUCAAUUACAUGUAUAUCACAUAUACCUUUCGUUUUGCCGGCCUUCUUGUCCGUUAAGUAUUUGGGGCAGUUCCGCUUCCAGUGACCACUUUCCUUGCAAUAAAAGCACUCAGUCUCGGGCUUGGGUCCAUUCUUUGGUUUCUUCCCGGCAGCUUGCUUGCCGGGCGCGGAAACUCCCUUGCCGUCCUUCUUGAAGGUUUUCUUACCCUUGCCUUUCUUGAACUUAGUGGUUUUAUUCACCAUCAACACUUGAUGUUCCUUUUUGACUUCUACCUCUGCUGAUUUCAGCAUUGCAAAUACUGCAGGAAUGGUCUUUUCCAUCCCCUGCAUAUUGAAGUUCAUCACAAAGCUCUUGUAGCUCGGUGGAAGCGACUGAAGGAUUCUGUCAAUGACCGUGUCAUCCGGGAGAUUAACUCCCACCAGAGUCAAGCGGUUAUGCAACCCAGACAUAGUGAGUAUGUGCUCACUGACAGAACUGUUUUCCUCCAUCUUAUAGCUGAAGAACUUGUCGGAGACUUGAUAUCUCUUGACCCGGGCAUGAGCUUGGAAAACCAUUUUCAGCUCUUCGAACAUCUCAUAUGCUCCGUGUCUCUCAAAACGCUUUUGGAGCCCCGGCUCUAAGCUGUAAAGCAUGCCGCACUGAACGAGGGAGUAGUCAUCGGUACGUGCCUGCCAAGCGUUCAUAACGUCUUGUUCUGCAGGGAGAACAGGUGCGUCACCCAGCGGUGCUUGUAGGACAUAAUCUUUCUUGGCAGCUAUGAGGAUUAUCCUCAGGUUCCGGACCCAGUCCGUGUAGUUGCUGCCAUUGUCUUUCAGCUUGGUUUUCUCUAGGAACGCGUUGAAGUUGAGGACUACGUUGGCCAUUUGAUCUACAAGACAUUGUAGACUAAGUUCAUGAUAAUUAAGUUCAUCUAAUCAAAUUAUUCAAUGAACUCCCACUUAGAUAGACAUCCCUCUUGUAAUCUAAUUAUAACAUGAUCCGAGUUAACUAGGCCGUGUCCGAUCAUCACGUGAGAUGGACUAGUCAACAUCGGUGAACAUCUUCAUGUUGAUCGUAUCUUCUAUACGACUCAUGCUUGACCUUUCGGUCUUCUGUGUUCCGAGGCCAUGUCUGUACAUGCUAGGCUCGUCAAGUCAACCUAAGUGUUUGCAUGUGUAAAUCUGUCUUACACCCGUUGUGUGUGAACGUUAGAAUCUAUCACACCCGAUCAUCACGUGGUGCUUCGAAACAACGAACUGUCGCAACGGUGCACAGUUAGGGGAAACACUUUCUUGAAAUUAUUAUGAGGGAUCAUCUUAUUUACUACCAUCGUUCUAAGCAAACAAGAUGCAAAAACAUGAUAAACAUCACAUGCAAUCAAAUAAUAAUAGUGACAUGAUAUGGCCAAUAUCACAUAGCUCCUUUGAUCUCCAUCUUGGGCCUCCAUGAUCAUCUUGUCACCGGCAUGACACCAUGAUAUCCAUCAUCAUAAUCUCCAUCAUCGUGUCUCCAUGAAGUUGCUCGCCAACUAUUACUUCUACUACUAUGGCUAACACGUUUAGCAAUAAAGUAAAGUAAUUUACAUGGCAUUUCUCAAUGACACGCAGGUCAUACAAAAAAAUAAAGACAACUCCUAUGGCUCCUGCUGGUUGUCAUACUCAUCGACAUUUAAGUCAUGAUUCCUAUUACAAUAGCAUGAACAUCUCAUACAUCACAUAUAUAUCAUUCAUCAUUCAUCACAACUUUGGGCAUAUCACAUCACAGAACACUUGCUGCAAAAACAAGUUAGACGUCCUCUAAUUGUUGUUGCAAGUUUUACGUGGCUGAAAAAGGGUUCUAGCAAGAACAUUUUCUUACCUACGUGAAAGCCACAACGUGAUUUGUCAACUUCUAUUUACCCUUCAUAAGGACCCUUUUCAUCGAGUCCGCUCCAACUAAAGUGGGAGAGACAGACACCCGCCAGCCACCUUAUGCAACUUGUGCAUGUUAGUCGGUGGAACCGGUCUCACCUAAGCGUACGUGUAAGGUUGGUCCGGGCCGCUUCAUCCCACAAUACCAUUGAAGCAAGAUAAGACUAGUAGUGGCAAGAAAGUUGACAACAUCAACACCCACAACAAAUUGUGUUCUACUCGUGCAAGAGAACUACGCAUAGACCUAGCUCAUGAUGCCACUGUUGGGGAACGUUGCAGAAAACAAAAAAUUUCCUACGGUUUCACCAAGAUCCAUCUAGGAGUUCAUCUAGCAACGAGUGAUUGGAUUGCAUCUACAUACCUUUCUAGAUCACGCGCGGAAGCGUUCAAAGAACGGGGAUGAGGAAGGCGUACUCGACGUGAUCCAAAUCACGGAGAUCCUAGCGCCGAACGGACGGCACCUCCGCGUUCAACACACGUACGGUCAGCGUAACGUCUCCUUCUUCUUGAUCCAGCAAGAGAGAAGGAGUGGUUGAGGAAGAUGGCUCCAGCAGCAGCACGACGGCGUGGUGGUGAUGGAGCUGCAGUACUCCGGCAGGGCUUCGCCAAGCACUGUGGAGGAGGAGGAUGUGUUGGAGAGGGAGAGGGAGGCACCAAAGGCGUGGGGGUGAGAAGUCCUCCAUCUCCCCACUAUAUAUAGGAGGGCCAAGGGGGGGGGCGCCGGCCCUAGGAGAUCCAAUCUCCUAGGGGGGUGCGGCCAAGGGGAGGAAUCCCUCCUCCCCAAGGCACCUAGGAGGUGCCUUCCCCCUUUGGGACUCUUCCCUUCUUGAACCCUAGGCGCAUGGGCCUCUUGGGGCUGGUGCCCUUGGCCCAUGUAGGCCAAGGCGCACCCCCUACAGCCCAUGUGGCCCCCCAGGGCAGGUGGCCCCACCCGGUGGACCCCCGGGACCCUUCCGGUGGUCCCGGUACAAUACCGGUGACCCCGAAACUUGUCCCGAUGCCCGAAAUAGCACUUCCUAUAUAUAAUUCUUUACCUCCGGACCAUUCCGGAACUCCUCGUGACAUCCGGGAUCUCAUCCGGGACUCCGAACAACAUUCGGGUUACUGCAUAUACAUAUCCUUACAACCCUAGCGUCACCGAACCUUAAGUGUGUAGACCCUACGGGUUCGGGAGACAUGUAGACAUAACCGAGAUUGCUCUCCGGUCAAUAACCAACAGCGGGAUCUGGAUACCCAUGUUUGCUCCCACAUGCUCCUCGAUGAUCUCAUCGGAUGAACCACGAUGUCGAGGAUUCAAUCAAUCCCGUAUACAAUUCCCUUUGUCAAUCGGUAUGCUACUUGCCCGAGAUUCGAUCGUCGGUAUCCCAAUACCUCGUUCAAUCUCGUUACCGGCAAGUCACUUUACUCAGUAUGAUCCUGUGACCAGACACUUGGUCACUUUGAGCUCAUUAUGAUGAUGCAUUACCGAGUGGGCCCAGUGAUACCUCUCCGUCAUACGGAGUGACAAAUCCCAGUCUUGAUCCGUGUCAACCCAACAAACACUUUCAGAGAUACACGUAGUAUACCUUUAUAGUCACCCAGUUACGUUGUGACGUUUGGUACACCCAAAGCACUCCUACGGUAUCCGGGAGUUACACGAUCUCAUGGUCUAAGGAAAGGAUACUUGACAUUGGAAAAACUCUAGCAAACGAACUAAACGAUCUUAUGCUAUGUUGAGGAUUGGGUCUUGUCCAUCACAUCAUUCUCCUAAUGAAGUGAUCUCGUUAUCAAUGAAAUCCAAUGUCCAUAGUCAGGAAACCAUGACUAUCUGUUGAUCAACGAGCUAGUCAACUAGAGGCUUACUAGGGACAUGUUGGUGUCUAUUAUUCACACAUGUAUUACGAUUUCCGGAUAAUACAAUUAUAGCAUGAAUAAAGACAAUUAUCAUGAACAAGGAAAUAUAAUAAUAAUGCUAUUAUUAUUGCCUCUAGGGCAUAUUUCCAACAGUAGCUUCGGGGGAGGCUUCGGCAGUACGUUUGCUACGAUUUGCUUCUCGUUCCUCUAUCGCGUCUACCCUUGCUUGCAGCGCCUGCAUUUGGGUCUGCUGCACUUUUUUCCUCCUCUCAUGGGAUUUGUAACCGCCUGCGUCUGGAAACCCAACCUUCCACGGAAUGGAGCCUGGCGUGCCUCAUGUCCGUCCAGGGUGCUCAGGAUUCCCGAGGGCCAUUGUGAGCUUGUCGUUCUCUCUGUCUGGAAAGAACUUCCCUUGCUGCGCUGCUUCGAUAUACUGCUUAAGCUUCCUGACUGGUAUGUCCAUUUGAUCGUUCGUCCAAAUGCACUUCCCUGUUACAGGGUCCAAGGUUCCACCAGCCCCGAAGAACCAAGUCCGGCAACGGUCUGGCCAGCUAAUUGUCUCUGGUUCGAUCCCUUUAUCAACCAGAUCAUUCUCAGUCUUGGCCCACUUAGGCCGGGCUACGAGGUAGCCACCUGACCCCAUUCGAUGGUGAAGCAUCUUCUUCGCAGCAUUUUGCUUGUUUGUCACCGACAUCUUCUUACUCUUUUCCGAUGUCUUGUGGGCCACAAAUGCGGGCCAGUGAUCUCUGAUCUUCUCAUAUCUGCCCUUGAAUUCUGGUGUCUCAUUAUUUUCGACAAACUUAUUCAGCUCUUUCUUCCACCUCCUGAAUAGUUCUGCCAUCCUCUUAAGAGCAAAAGACUUGAUUAAUUUCUCUUUAACUGGGUUCUCUGGAUUAUCCUCUGGCGGUAGGGUGAAAUUUGACUUCAGCUCAGUCCAAAGAUCAUUUUUCUGCAUAUCAUUGACAUAAGACACCUCAGAGUCUUCUGUAGCCAGCUUAAACCAUUGCUGGAUGCUUAUCGGGAUCUUGUCCCUAACCAGAACCCCGCACUGAGCAACAAAUGCGCUCUUUGUCCGGAGGGGUUCAAUCGGUUGGCCAUCGGGCGCGAUUGCUAUGAUCUCAAACUUUUCAUCCGAGCUCAACUUUUUCUUCGGGCCUCGUCUCUUUACCAAAGUUGUGCUCGAUCCGGAGGGCUAGAAAAAAGAACAAAGACUUAAUUAAUAUGUGUACAUACCAAAACAAUGAAUGCAUCAAUCAGCUAGUCAGCACAGGCUUAACUAAUAUAUAUACCUGGCCGGACUCGGUUCGGUCACCGGAGCCGUCAUCACGGUCUCCUUCUUGCACCGGCAUUGGGUCACCGGAGCCGUCCUCAUGUUCUUCUUCUUGCACCGGCAUUAGGUCACCGUAGCCAGCUUGUUCACCCUCUCCUUCCAGACCAUCGGUUUCACUGAGAAACAACGAGACGACAUCACUUCCUUCUGCGAUUAUGUCCCUCAACAACGCUUCUUUUGCUUCGUCUAGGGCGGUGUCCAUAGUUUCUACAAAUAUUUACAACAUGGCAAUUAUUAUUCAAACAUGACAGGUGGAUAUAUUAGUGCCAAACGUAGAACUAGCUACCUAAUCAUAGUAAGCUAUCGGGAGGGGGUAUAUAUCGACAACGACGACACUACAUCUAUUUCCCUCGACGACCCUCGUUCCCGAUAAAAAAAAGAGGAAGAAGAAGAAAAAAAAGAGGAGAAGAAAGAAUAGAGGAGAUCUUCUCCUCUAUUCUUUCUUCUCCUCUCUUUUUUCUUCUUCUUCCUCUUUUUUUUAUCCUCUUCUUCCUCUCAUGUUCGAGAGCAUCGCCGAGGGGUCGGGAGGUUGCCUAGUGUCAAAGGAUUCAACAAAACCAUGUCUUCAUCAUUAGGCGAAAGUAACAUGUGCAUGAUGGUACGAAGCUCUCCAAAGUUAUUUUGGAACGGAGUCCUAGAUAGGAUAAUUCGCUUUUUGGUACAAAGUUUAGCAAGAACCUUCCAAAUAUCGUUAUUUGGAAGGCCUUUGCUGAAAUUCAUACAAGAAGGCAAAUUAUCCUAUCCGGGACACCAUUCCAAAAUAAUUUUGGAGGACUUCGUCAUGCCCUGGUUACUUCUGGCUAAUGAUGAAGCCAUGGAUUUCUUCAAUACUUUGACACUAGGAAACCUCUCUCGACCCCUCGGCGAUCCUCGACCCCUCGAACCCUCGACGACCCUGGAACCCUCGACCCCUCGGCGAUCCUCUUCUUCCUCUCAUGUUCGAGAGGAUCGCCGAGGGGUCGGGAGGUUGCGUAGUGUCAAAGGAUUCAACAAAACCAUGUCUUCAUCAUUAGGCGAAAGUAACAUGUGCAUGAUGGUAUGAAGCUCUCCAAAGUUAUUUUGGAACGGAGUCCUAGAUAGGAUAAUUCGCUUUUUGGUACAAAGUUCAGCAAGAACCUUCUAAAUAUCGUUAUUUGGAAGGCCUUUGCUGAAAUUCAUACAAAAAGGCAAAUUAUCCUAUCCGGGACACCAUUCCAAAAUAAUUUUGGAGGACUUCGUCAUGCCCUGGUUACUUCCGGCUAAUGAUGAAGCCAAGGAUUUCUUCAAUACUUUGACACUAGGAAACCUCUCUCGACCCCUCGGCGAUCCUCGACCCCUCGAACCCUCGACGACCCUGGAACCCUCGACCCCUAGACGACCCUGGAACCCUCGACCCUCGACCCUAUAGAACCCUCGAACCCUCGACCCUGAAACCCUUAACCCUUGACCCCUUAACGACCCUCGACCCUCUACCCUAGUUCCCGACCCUCGACCCCUCGGCGAUCCUCGACACCNNNNNNNNNNNNNNNNNNNNNNNNNNNNNNNNNNNNNNNNNNNNNNNNNNNNNNNNNNNNNNNNNNNNNNNNNNNNNNNNNNNNNNNNNNNNNNNNNNNNNNNNNNNNNNNNNNNNNNNNNNNNNNNNNNNNNNNNNNNNNNNNNNNNNNNNNNNNNNNNNNNNNNNNNNNNNNNNNAGAAGAAGAAGAAGAAGAAGAAAGAGGAGAAGAAGAAAGGAAUAGCUAGAGGAGAAGAUCGAAGAAAAAAAAGAAGAAGAAAAAGAGGAGAAGAAGAAAGGAAUAGUGGAGAAGAAGAAAAAAUAGAAUAUAUUCUAUUUUCUCUUCUUCUCCACUAUUCCUUUCUUCUCCUCCUCUUCUUUUUCUUCUUUUUUCUUCUUCUUAUUUAUUUCUCCUCUUCUUCCUCUCCUCUUCUUCUUCUUAUUUAGUUCUCUCGACCCCUCGAUGACCCUCGUCCCUGAUAACAUUUUUUUUCUCCCCUCGCCACCUCUCGACCUCUCGACCCCUCAUCAUCAUCUAUCACCCCCUCAUUUUCUUUAGCAUAUAUCCAUGAACAAAAUAAUAAUUCAUAUAUAGAAAAAAUGCUAUAUGAACAUACAUACAUAUGAGCAUAUACAUAGAGCAUAUACAUAGCCAAAUCCAUAUACAAAGAGCAUAUACAUACAUACAUACAUAUGAGCAUAUACAUACAUACAUAGCCAUACAUACAUACAUACAUACAUAGCCAUACAUAUGAGCCUCUCGGCGCGAUGGUCAGAGCGACAGGGAUCGAUGGGAAGGGGGGAGCUCACUGGGGGCGCGACGGGGAGGAGGCCGGGGACGGGGAGGAGGCCGGCGACGGCGCGGGGGAGGCCGGCGACGCGGCGCGGGGCGACGGGGAGGGGGCCAGAGAUGGUGCACGCAGCGACAAGGAGGAGGCCGGUGACGGCGCAAGCAGCGAUGGGGACAAGGCCUGCGGCGGCGCGGGGCGACGGCGACGGGGAGCGGGCGACGACGGGCUCGGGGCGGCGACGACGACGACGAACGGCCUGGGGGCGUCGGGGGCGAAUGGGAGCGGUUGGCGAAAUUUUCACAAGUGCUACCUUAUAUACCCAGAGCAAUGGUCCCGGUUCGUGGCACGAACCGUGACCAAUGCCCCCCUUUGGUCCCGGUUGGUGCCACCAACCGGGACCAAUGGCCUUGUGCUGCCCCGCGCCCAAAAAUGUAGUCCCACCUCGCUAGUUGAGAGGGCUCGGGAGUGGUUUAUAAGCACUGUUGCGCCCACCCUCCCGAGCUCCUCUCAACUGCAGGCUUUCGGGCCUAAUCUGUCACUGCAAUGCCUGUGGGCCUGCUGGGCCCGCUGCGGGCCUGAAUCUUGGCCCAUGGUAGGGUUUCUAGUCGUAUUCAGGCCGUGGUGGCCUAGUAGGUGGCAUUUUUUUGUUUUUUUGUUGCUUUAUUUAUUUUCUUUUGUUGUUUGCUUUGUUUUUUAAUUCUUUAUGCUUUUAGUUUUAGAAAAAUUAUAAACUUUUUGUUAAUGCCAUUAGUUUUCAAAUUUGAAAAUAAUUUUUUAGUUUUUUUGUUUUCUUUGUUGCUUUAUUUAUUUUAUUUUGUGAUUAAAUUUACUAUAAAAAUAGUUUUUUCUUGUUUUUUAUUUGUUUUUGCAUUAUUUAUUUUAUUUUGUUUUUUGCUUUAAUUUUUAAUUUUGUUUGCUUUUAGGUUAGCAAAAUUAUAAACUUUCUGUUAGUGCCAUUAGUUUUACAAAAAUUAUAAACUUUCUGUUAGUGCCAUUAGUUUUCAAAUUUGAAAACACUUUUUUAGUUUUUUUGUUUUCUUUGUUGCUUUAUCUAGACAAAUCUCGAGGAAAAUGGAGCUUGGAGGUCGAGCUUCGAGAGGAGAAAGCUUAAGUAGUGUGGCUCGGGCAUUCCAUCAAACACCUCAUGUGCAUAGGAGGUGAGCUAGAGCACCACAAAGCCCUCUCCCCCUCGGCCAGAAAAAACAGAGCACUGUGCUCUGCUCUUGCGCGAGGGGGUAUAUAUAGGCACCUCAUUGGUCCCGGUUGGUGACAUGAGCCGGGACUAAAGGGGAGCCUUUGGUCCCGGUUCAAGCCACCAACCGGGACCAAUGGUGGUGGGCCAGGAGCGAGGCCCAUUGGUCCCGGUUCAUCCCACCAACCGGGACCAAAAUGUCCAGAUGAACCGGGACCAAUGGCCCACGUGGCCCGGCUGGCCCCCUGGGCUCACGAACCGGGACCAAUGCCCACAUUGGUCCCGGUUGUAGACUGAACCGGGACUAAUGGGCUGACCCGGCCUGGACCAAAGCCCUGUUUUCUACUAGUGAUGAUGGAGAUCAUGGUGUCAUGCCGGUGACGAUAGAGAUCAUGACGAUGCUUUGGAGAUGGAGAUCAAAGACACAAGAUGAUGAUGGCCAUAUCAUGUCACAUAUUUUGAUUGCAUGUGAUGUUUAUCUUUUAUACAUCUUAUUUUGCUUAGUUCGACGGUAGCUUUAUAAGACGAUCUCUCACUAAUUAUCAAGCUACAAGUGUUCUCCCUAAGUAUGCACCGUUACGAAAGUUCUUCGUGCUGAGACACCACGUGAUGAUCAGGUGUGAUAGGCUCUACGUUCAAAUACAACGGGUGCAAAACAGUUACACACGCGGAAUACUCAGGUUAAACUUGACGAGCCUAGCAUAUAACAGAUAUGGCCUCGGAACACGGAGACCGAAAGGUCGAGCGUGAAUCAUAUAGUAGAUAUGAUCAACAUAGUGAUGUUCACCAUUGAAACUACUCCAUCUCAUGUGAUGAUCGGACAUGGUUUAGUUGAUUUGGAUCACGUGAUCACUUAGAGGAUUAGAGGGAUGUCUAUCUAAGUGGGAGUUCUUAAGUAAUAUGAUUAACUGAACUUUAAUUUAUCAUGAACUUAGUCCUGGCAGUAUUAGCAAAUUAUGUUGUAGAUCAAUAGCUCGCGUUGUUGCUUUCAUAUGUUUAUUUUGAUAUGUUCCUAGAGAAAAUUGUGUUGAAAGAUGUUAGUAGCAAUGAUGCGGAUUGGAUCCAUGAUCUGAGGUUUAUCCCAUUGCUGCACAGAAGAAUUAUGUCCUUGAUGCACCGCUAGGUGACAGACCUAUUGCAGGAGCAGAUGCAGACGUUAUGAACGUUUGGCUAGCUCAAUAUGAUGACUACUUGAUAGUUUAGUGCACCAUGCUUAACGGUUUAGAAUCGGGACUUCAAAGACGAUUUGAACGUCAUGGACCAUAUGAGAUGUUCCAGGAGUUGAAGUUAAUAUUUCAAGCAAAUACCCGAGUUGAGAGAUAUGAAGUCUCCAACAAGUUCUAUAGCUAAAAGAUGGAGGAGAAUCGCUAAACUAGUGAGCAUGUGCUCAGAUUGUCUGGGUACUACAAUCGCUUGAAUCAAGUGGGAGUUAAUCUUCCAGAUAAAAUAGUGAUUGACAGAAUUCUCUAGUCACCAUCACCAAGUUAGUAGAACUUCGUGAUGAACUAUGAUAUGCAAGGGAUAAUGGAAACGAUUCCCAAGCUCUUCGUAAUGCUGAAAUUGACGAAGGUAGAAAUCAAGAAAAAACAUCAAGUGUUGAUGGUUGACGAGACCACUAGUUUCAAGAAAAGGGCAAAGGGAAGAAGGGGAACUUCAAGAAGAAUGGCAAGCAAGUUGCUGCUCAAGUGAAGAAGCCCAAGUCUGGUCCUAAGCCUGAGACUAAGUGCUUCUACUGCAAAGGGACUGGUCACUGGAAGCGGAACUGCCCCAAGUAUUUGGCGGAUAAGAAGGAUGGCAAAGUGAACAUAAGUAUAUUUGAUAUACAUGUUAUUGAUGUGUACUUUACUAGUGUUUAUAGCAACCCCUCAGUAUUUGAUACUAGUUCAGUUACUAUGAUUAGUAACUUGAAUCGGGAGUUGCAGAAUGAACAAAGACUAGUUAAGGGUGAGGUGACGAUGUGUGUUGGAAGUAGUUCCAAGAUUGAUAUGAUCAUCAUCGCACACUCCCUAUACUUUCGGGAUUAGUGUUGAACCUAAAUAAGUGUUAUUUGGUGUUUGCGUUGAGCAUGAACAUGAUAUGAUCAUGUUUAUUGCAAUACGGUUAUUCAUUUAAGUUGGAGAACAAUUGUUGUUCUGUUUACAUGAAUAAAACCUUAUAUGGUUACACACCCAAUGAAAAUGGUUCAUUGGAUCUCGAUCAUAGUGAUACACAUAUUCAUAAUAUUGAAACCAAAAGAUGCAAAGUUAAUAAUGAUAGUGCAACUUAUUUGUGGCACUGCUGUUUAGGUCAUAUUGGUGUAAAGCGCAUGAAGAAACUCCAUGCUGAUGGGAUUUUGGAAUCACUUGAUUAUGAAUCACUUGGUGCUUGCGAACCAUGCCUUAUGGGCAAGAUGACUAAAGACUCCGUUCUCCGGAACAAUGGAGCGAGAAACUGACUUAUUGGAAAUAAUACAUACUGAUGUAUGCGAUCCGAUGAAUGUUGGAGCUCGUGGGGGGUAUCGUUAUUUUCUGACCUUCACAGAUGAUUUGAGCAGAUAAGGGUAUAUCUACUUAAUGAAACAUAAGUCUGAAACAUUUGAAAAGUUCAAAGAAUUUCAGAGUGAAGUUGAAAAUCAUCGUAACAAGAAAAUAAAGUUUCUACGAUCUGAUCAUGGAGGAGAAUAUUUGAGUUACAAGUUUGGUCUACAUUUGAAACAAUGCGGAAUAGUUUCGCAACUCACGCCACCCGGAACACCACAGCGUAAUGGUGUGUCCGAACGUCAUAAUCGUACUUUACUUGAUAUGGUGCGAUCUAUGAUGUAUCUUACCGAUCUACCACUAUCGUUUUGAGGUUAUGCAUUAGAGACAGCUACAUUCACGUUAAAAAGGGCACCAUCUAAAUCCGUUGAGACGACACCGUAUGAACUCUGGUUUGGCGAGAAACCUAAGCUAUCAUUUCUUAAAGUUUGGGACUGCAAUGCUUAUGUGAAAAAGUUUCAACAUGAUAAGCUCGAACCCAAAUCGGAGAAGUAAAUCUUCAUAGGAUACCCAAAAGAAAAUGUUGGGUACACCUUCUAUCACAGAUCCGAAGGCAAGUUAUUCAUUGCUGAGAAUGGAUCCUUUCUAGAGAAGGAGUUUCUCUUGAAAGAAGUGAGUGGGAGGAAAGUAGAACUUGAUGAGGUAGCUGUACCUGCUCCCUUAUUGGAAAGUAGUUCAUCACAGAAAUCUGUUCCUGUGACUACUACAUCGAUUAGUGAGGAAGCUAAUGAUGAUGAUCAUGUAACUUCAGAUCAAGUUACUACCGAACCUUGUAGGUAAACUAGAGUGAGAUCCGCACCAGAGUGGUACGGUAAUCCUGUUCUGGAGGUCAUGUUACUUGACCAUGACAAGCCUACGAACUAUGAGGAAGCGAUGAUGAGCCCAGAUUCCGUGAAAUGGCUUGAGGCCAUGAAAUCUGAGAUGAGAUCCAUGUAUGAGAACAAAGUAUGGACUUUGAUUGACUUGCCCAAUGAUCGGCGAGCCAUUGAGAUUAAAUGGAUCUUCAAGAGGAAGAUGGACACUGAUAGUAGUGUUACUAUCUACAAAGCUAGAAUUGUCGCAAAAAGUUUUUCGACAAGUUCAAGGUGUUGACUACGAUGAGAGUUUCUCACUCGUAUUUAUGCUUAAGUCUGUCCGAAUCAUGUUAGCAAUUGCCGCAUUUUAUGAAAUCUGGCAAAUGGAUAAACAAAACUGCAUUACUUAAUGGAUUUAUUAAAGAAGAGUUGUAUAUGAUGCAACCAGAAGGUUUUGUCAAUCCUAAAGGUACUAACAAAAUAUGCAAGCUCCAGCGAUCCAUCUAUGGACUGGUGCAAGCAUCUCGGAGCUGGAAUAUACGCUUUGAUAAGUUGAUCAAAGCAUAUAGUUUUAUACAGACUUGCGGUGAAGCCUGUAUUUACAAGAAAGUGAGUGGGAGCACUACAACAUUUCUGAUAAGUAUAUGUGAAAGACAUAUUAUUGAUCAGAGAUAAUGUAGAAUUAUUUUGCAGAGCAUAAAGGAAUAUUUGAAAGGAGUUUUUUGAAGAAAGACCUCGGUGAAGCUGCUUACAUAUUGAGCAUCAAGACCUAUAGAGAUAGAUCAAGAUGCUUGAUAAGUUUUUCAAUGAGUACAUAUCUUGACAAGAUUUUGAAGUAGUUCAAAAUGGAACAGUCAAAGAAGAAGUUCUUGCCUGUGUUACAAGGUGUGAAGUUGAGUAAGACUCAAAACCCGACCACGGCAGAAGAUAAAGAGAGAAUGAAAGUCAUUCCCUAUGCCUUAGCCAUAGGUUCUAUAAAGUAUGCCAUGCCGUGUACCAGGCCUAUUAUAUACCCUGCCCUGAGUUUGGCAAGGGAGUACAAUAGUGAUCUAGGAGUAGAUCACUGGACAUUGGUCAAAAUUAUCCUUAGUGGAAUAAGGAUAUGUUUCUCGAUUAUGAAGGUGAUAAAAGGUUCGUCGUAAAGGUUUAUGUCGAUGCAAGUUUUGACACUGAUCCAGAUGACUCUAAGUCUUAAUCUGGACACAUAUUGAAAGUGGGAGAAAUUAGCUAGAGUAGCUCCAUGUAGAGCAUUGUUGACAUAGAAAUUUGCAAAAUACUUAUGGAUAUGAAUGUGGCAGACCCGUUGACUAAACUUCUCUCACAAGCAAAACAUGAUCACACCUCAGUACUCUUUGGGUGUUGAUCACAUGGCGAUGUGAACUAGAUUAUUGACUCUAGUAAACCCUUUGUGUGUUGGUCACAUGUCGAUGUGAACUAUGGGUGUUAAUCACAUGGUGAUGUGAACUAUUGAUGUUAAAUCACAUGGCGAUGUGAACUAGAUUAUUGACUCUAGUGCAAGUGGGAGACUGAAGGAAAUAUGCCCUAGAGGCAAUAAUAAAGCUAUUAUUUAUUUCCCUAUAUCAUGAUAAAUGUUUAUUAUUCAUGCUAGAAUUGUAUUAACCGGAAACAUAAUACAUGUGUGAAUACAUAGACAAACAAAGUGUCACUAGUAUGCCUCUACUUGACUAGCUCGUUAAUCAAAGAUGGUUAUGUUUCCUAACCAUAGACAUGUGUUGUCAUUUGAUUAAAGGGAUCACAUCAUUAGGAGAAUGAUGCGAUUGACAUGACCCAUUCCAUUAGCUUAGCACCCGAUUGUUUAGUAUGUUGCUAUUGCUUUCUUCAUGACUUAUACAUGUUCCUAUGACUAUGAGAUUAUGCAACUCCCGUUUGCCGGAGGAACACUUUGUGUGCUACCAAACGUCACAACGUAACUGGGUGAUUAUAAAGGAGCUCUACAGGUGUCUCCAAAGGUACGUGUUGGGUUGGCGUAUUUCGAGAUUAGGAUUUGUCACUCCGAUUGUCGGAGAGGUAUCUCUAGGCCCUCUCGGUAAUGCACAUCACAUAAGCCUUGCAAGCAUUUCAACUAAUGAGUUAGUUGUGAGAUGAUGUAUUACGAAACGAGUAAAGAGACUUGCCGAUAACGAGAUUGAACUAGGUAUUGAGAUACCGAUGAUCGAAUCUCGGGCAAGUAACAUACCGAUGACAAAGGGAACAACGUAUGUUGUUAUGCGGUCUGACCGAUAAAGAUCUUCAUAGAAUAUGUGGGAGCCAAUAUGAGCAUCCAGGUUCUGCUAUUGGUUAUUAACCGGAGACGUGUCUCGGUCAUGUCUACAUUGUUCUCGAACCCGUAGGGUCCGCACGCUUAAGGUUUCGAUGAUAGUUAUAUUAUGAGUUUAUUAGUUUUGAUGUACCGAAGUUAGUUCGGAGUCCCGGAUAUGAUCACGGACAUAACGAGGAGUGUCGAAAUGGUCGAGACAUAAAGAUUGAUAUAUUGGACGGCUAUAUUCGGACACCGGAAGUGUUCCGGGGAAGUUUCGGAUAAAACCGGAGUACCGGGGGGUUACCGGAACCCCCCGGGGGGUUAAUGGGCCUCAUGGGCCUAAAGUGGAGAAGAGGAGGGGCGGCCAGGGCAGGCCGCGCGCCCCCUCUCCCCCUAGUCCGAAUUGGACAAGGCGGGAGGGGCGGCGCCCCCCCUUUCCUUCCUCUCCUCUCUCCCUUCCUUCCCCCUCUCCUACUUGGACAAGGAAAAGGAGGGAGUCCUACUCCUGGUAGGAGUAGGACUCCUCCCUGGCGCGCCUCAUCAUGGCCGGCCGCCCCUCCCCCUUGCUCCUUUAUAUACGGGGGCAGGGGGGCACCUCUAGACACAACAAUUGAUCCUUGAGAUCUCUUAGCCGUGUGCGGUGCCCCCCUCCACCAUAAUCCUCGAUAAUAUUGUAGCGGUGCUUAGGCGAAGCCCUGCGACGGUAGAACAUCAAGAUCGUCACCACGCCGUCGUGCUAACGAAACUCUUCCCCGACACUUUGCUGGAUCGGAGUCCGGGGAUCGUCAUCGAGCUGAACGUGUGCUAGAACUUGGAGGUGCCAUAGUUUCGGUGCUUGAUCGGCCGGGACGUGAAGACGUACGACUACAUCAACCGCGUUGUCAUAACGCUUCCGCUUUCGGUCUACGAGGGUACGUAGACAACACUCUCCCCUCUCAUUGCUAUGCAUCACCAUGAUCUUGCAUGUGCGUAGGAAUUUUUUUGAAAUUACUACGUUCCCCAACAGGUACCGCAGGACACGAUUCAUUGUGUUUCCUCGACGCAUAUUCUGGCUACCAUCAAAUCAAGAUGGCAGAGCCAGACCAAGCCGCAACGGCAUUUAUCACACCAUACGGGCCAUUCUGCUUUAACACGAUGCCCUUCGGGCUCAAAAAUGCCGGCGCAACAUAUCAGCGCAUGAUUCAGACAUGUCUGGCAAGCCAGAUCGGCAAAAUAGUGGAGGCAUAUGUAGAUGAUGUGGUCGUCAAAACAAGACAUGUUGAAUCUCUAGUAGACGACUUGAGGCUCACAUUUGAUAACCUCUGAACAUACGACAUCAAGCUCAACCCGGAAAAAAGCGUUUUCGGCGUUCCAGCCGGAAAGCUCUUGGGCUUCAUUGUAUCCGGUAGAGGAAUUGAAGCAAAUCCAGCCAAGAUCCGAGCUCUAUCGCAACUGGACAUCCCGAAGGACCUCAAACAAAUACAAAAGUUAAUCGGAUGCGUGACGGCUCUAAGCCGCUUUAUCUCCCGCUUGGGAGAGAAAGCCCUACCCCUUUACCGCCUCCUUCGGCGCACCGAACACUUCAAAUGGACGGACGUAGCCACGGUCGGACUCGACGAAAUAAAAACCAUACUGGUAACAAACCCAGUCCUGGCCGCGCCAAACAUUGGCGAACCAAUGCUAUUAUACAUUGCAGCAACACAUCAGGUUGUAAGCGCAGUGAUCGUCAUGGAACGAGAAGCGGAUGGACACAAAUUCCCCCUUCAAAAGCCGGUCUAUUAUGUGUCCACUGUCCUCACUCCCUGCAAAUCACAGUACCCGCAUUAUCAAAAGAUUGCGUACGCGGUAUUCAUGGCAUCCCGGAAGCUACGACACUACUUUCAAGAGUGUUCAAUAACAGUAGCCUUGGAAGUAUCACUUAAUGAUAUUAUAAACAACCGUGACGCAACGGGCCGGAUUGUGAAAUGGGCCAUCGAGCUCCUCCCGUUCGACAUAACUUAUAAGCAACGACGAGCCAUCAAGUCACAAGUCUUGGCCGACUUCGUCGCAGAAUGGACGGAGGCCGAACUCCCUAAAGAGUACGACACAUAUUCAAAUUGGAUCAUGCAUUCCGACGGCUCCAAGAUGUUGGUCGGACUGGGGGCUGGCGUCGUUUUGACGUCCCCCACAGGAGACACAGUUCAAUACGUACUACAGAUUAUGUACACGGACUCCAACAAUGCAGCCGAAUAUGAGGCCCUUUUACAUGGUCUCCGGAUGGUAGUAUCCAUGGGCAUCCAAUGCCUAGAGGUGCGCGGGGACUCGAACCUCACAAUAUCCCAAAUAAAUGGAGACUUCGAUGCCAAGGAUCCAAAAAUGGCAGCUUACCGCAACACCAUCCUAAAAAUGUCAGCUCGGUUCGAGGGGCUUGAAUUUCACCAUAUAGCCCGAGAAAAUAAUCAGGCGGCAGAUGUCCUGGCACGCAUCGGCGCAAAACGCGAUGUAGCCCCCCCCCAACAUCUUUUUGGAAAGGUUGUUCAAGCCAUCCAUAGCAUGGGAAGGGGGGCCGAACAAUAACAGCCCGGACCCAACCGCACUGCCCGACACCGAACAUUCUGACAAAUCGGAGGCUCUGCCAAUGAAAUAACACCUUCAGCCCACGUAAUAAUGGUCGUCAUCGCCCCAUGGACAGAACCAUUCCUCGCCUACCUUACUAGGCAGGAACUCCCCGAGGACCAAAAUGAGGCACGCUGCAUAGUGCGGCGAUCCAAAGCCUACAGAGUCCACGAGGGAGAGCUUUAUAAGAAAAGCACUACCGGAGUCCUUUAAAGGUGCAUCUCUGAAGAGGAGGGGCGGAAUCUCCUGGCUAAAAUUCAUGCCGGACUCAGCAGUCAUCACGCUGCAGCCCGGUCCCUUGUAAGCAAGGCCUUUCGUAUAGGCUUUUAUUGGCCGACGGCCCGGGCAGACGCUCAGGAUUUAGUCCGACGAUGCACCGGUUGCCAGCUCUUUGCAAACCAAAGCCAUAUGCCACCCAUCGCCCUCCAAACCAUCCCCAUUACUUGGCCCUUCGCGGUAUGGGGGCUUGACAUGGUUGGACCCCUUCAAGGCGGAACCCACAAGCAAAAAUACUUACUGGUCAUGGUGGAUAAGUUCACCAAAUGGAUAGAAGUCAAGCCUGUUAAGACGGCCGAAUCCGGACCGAUGAUAGACUUUAUAUCCGGGGUUGUACACUGUUACGGCGUCCCCCACAGCAUCAUCACCAAUAACGGCACGAACUUCACGGCCGACGAGGUAAAACUCUGGUGCAAAAACACUAGUGCAGAACCGGGCAAUAGCACCGGUUCGUAAGGCCCUUUAGUGUCGGUUCCAUAACCGGCACUAAAGUGUGGUCACUAAAGCCCCCCCCCUUAGUACCGGUUCAGCACGAACCGGUGCUAAAGGGCAACCAUGUGGCACGAGCCAGCUCCGGGGGCCAGGAUCCCUUUAGUACCGGUUGGUAACACCAACCGGUACUAAAAUGUUUGGGGGGUUUUUGUUUUAUUUUGUAUUUUUCAAUUAAAUUUGUGUUAUCAAUUUAAUUUAGGAUUGUUUUACGUUAUAAUGAGUUGUAGUCGUCAUCAUCAUCAUCAUCAUCAUCAUUGCAUAUUAAUAAAUAAAUAAACUCUAGCUAGCUAAAAAUCAUCGUAGUCGUCUAAUAACCACUAUUUAAUCAUCAUAGUCAUUACCGCUAGCUAUCUAAUCAUCACCAACACUGGCUAGCUUAAAGAGGAAACAUUCACUUUGUAACAG
Molecule: long non-coding RNA, 52330 nt
Filed under: Triticum aestivum (bread wheat)
Lineage: Eukaryota; Viridiplantae; Streptophyta; Magnoliopsida; Poales; Poaceae
Description: long non-coding RNA (TAES_LNC025830)
Rfam family: MIR1120/MIR1122 microRNA precursor family (bases 17407-17493)
Source: RNAcentral